This 74145-nucleotide long non-coding RNA is filed under the name Phoenix dactylifera (date palm). Its description in RNAcentral is "long non-coding RNA (PDAC_LNC002358)". The record is from RNAcentral. Lineage: Eukaryota; Viridiplantae; Streptophyta; Magnoliopsida; Arecales; Arecaceae.
AUUUUUAUAUUAAGUGAUUAACAAAUAGAAUGAAGAAAAACCUCACAUGAUGAGGAAAAGAGAAUGGAUUUUGUAUAAUAACCAUGAAGUUAGUACCAACCCAAUCCUCAUGCUUAUAAACAUUGUUGUUAAAUGUUGCCACGUGAACAUUUGGGAAUGAUAUUGCUUAUUUUUUUAAAGUUGGCAUGCCCUUAAAAAUGACCAUGAUCAAACUUGCUCCUGUUAAACAAACUCUCAAUCUCUACUACUUUUAUAUUUCCUAUGCCUUUUUCUGCUGUUGAAUUGUGCUGGUCUUUAUAUGCAAUAAUCUUUUAUUUGACAUCGGUCUAUACUUCGAGUCCCAAUAGCAGUGCUUGAUGAUUUUCUAUAGUUUCACAUCAUUAAUUAAAUGAUCUGUAUUAUGGUUGGACAUGAUUCUAUGCUUAAUUUUUGCACAAAAUUUGUAUGGAUUAUGUCACCUCUGCAGGGUGAUAUAAAAUGUGUCUUUAUAUUUAAGCUCCAUGUUUUUAAGUAAUAAUCUCUAAAUAAGGAAAUUGAGUUGGUGGAUAAGGCCAAUAAAAAGGAGGUAUGAUUCAUUGACUAUAGCCACUUGUCAGAAAAAGUCUCUGGAUAAAAAGUCUCAUUGAAUGUUUCGGUUUUUGUGUAGAAAGCUAUACUUCUUGAUUUCUUAAUGUUUCAUUGAACUCUUUUUUUGAUUUUUUUAAAAAAUUGAUCCUUUAAUUUUAGAAAUCUGCUCAUUCUUUAUCCUUAUUUUUUUCUUUUUCAGUCUAUUAGCAUCCUCCUUGAACAAGAUUAUAUGAAGAGGGCUUAGUAACAAUACUAAAUAAUUUCUCCUGUAACUGUAUUUACACCUCUGGUUGUUUACCUAUUCACUCUCCUAAGCUUCCAUGUGAGACAUCCCUCUUGCACUACUUGAAUUUCUAGAUGCUGUGUGCAUGCUCCUAUAAUUGUGCACUACUCUUUUUGAUUUUCUCCCAUAAUGUCUAAUAUUUUUGGAUUCCUGUUCUAGUUACAUAUAUUUUCGCUGUAUCUUACUGAUACUACUAAUUAUCAUAUGCUGCAUAUGUAGUAAUUUCUAGGUUUUUAGUGGCUUUAUAUUUUUUUUAAGAAUUAAUAACAUAUCUAAUUUGGAAGUUUCUUACUACUUCUCUGAUUUGAGGAUGCGUCUUAGUGCAACAGUAAGAUUGCUUUAUUGUAAUCUUAGUGUCACGGGUUUGAAAUAGAAAAACAACACCUCCAUAUGUGCGAGUAAGGCUAUGUACAUUUGACCCUCCCUAGACACUCCAGUGACUGGAGCCUCGUGCACUAAGACACCUUUUUUAAAUCUCUUACCACCUCUCUUUGCAAUAUCAUAUCCAUUUUCACCCUCAAAUUUACUACCUGAACUUUUGGUCACUCGUUAAUUGAAUUGUUCUUCAGGGUUUGCUUACAUAACAUGUUUGCUUGGCAAGCGUGGAUUGUUGAACCGGCCUGAACCAGGUGGUUCGGCUUGUAUGAAAUCAUAUCGAGACCGGCCCGAGACAGUUCAGCCUCUUGGGUUAGUUCACCCCUAGUUUAUAAAAGCCCUCCCCAGAGUCUCUGUUUAGACAGCCCUCCCAAGGGUUUCACUUGUUUGCUUGUUGGAGGGUUUCACGCUUGUCUUGCCCUCGCUGACUGCUGCAAUCGCCCCUAGGUAAGUCCCUCUGACUCCCCCUCUCCCUCCCCCUCCCUCUCCAAGGAUUCAAGAUUAAGGCCUCUCUCCCCCUGUCCCUCCAUCUCUCUAUCUCUUUCUCUCCCGCAUCCUCGGUGGCCCUCCUCCUCGGAUUCUGGCACCUCUCUCUCUCUCUCUUCNNNNNNNNNNNNNNNNNNNNCCUCUCUCUCUCUCUCUUCCUCUCCUCCCUCCUCUCUCUCUCUCUUCCUCUCCCUCCCUUCCCACUUUCUCUCUUCUUCUCCCUCUCCUUAUUUUCGGUACGCCCCAGAAUGCUCUGUACCGCAACAAAUCAAUCACCGGCUGGUACAAACUCCAAUAUUGGAUCGGCGAACCUUGUUGUCAAGUAUUCUACAGAUAAGAAUUUUGUCUAGAACUAAUCAGUUCCUUGUUACUAUGAUUUCUCUUGUACCAAUUUAUUUUGCCCCACUUUGACCCCUUCAAAAAAGGAAUCAUUUUUAAUCCUUUACCAUCUGAGAUGUCUGCAAGCUCUCUUUGCACUUCUUGGGAAUACCAGGAACUCAGGGCAGAGAAUAGUAUAGCAAAUAGGAAGGGAAACAUUUAUGUUAACCUUUUAGAUCAUGCCUGUUGAAUGUGUACUUCGUUAUUAAAGUGCCCAACUAUUAUUGUGUCCCUUUUAUUUCUCUCCACCAAUGCUUUAGUCGGUAAUUCAGUAAUAUAUACCUCUCACUUUUGUAUGUUAACAAACUAGCAUUUUGUACUUCAAUUUGUUUUCCAUCAUGGAUUCUUAGUCUUCCAAAUUCCCUUUUAUCUUACUGACAUGUGUCAGUGCUAGGUUAAGCUAAUGAUAUGUGGCUGCAGUGAUCUCUUCUUUGUUCAAUUCACAUUUGCAUUUCCUGGCAUUUGUAUUUGGCAGAAAAUGGAUGGUUUAAAUGCACAAACCCUGUUUUGGCCCUUUGGUAUGCAUGCUAGGUGACAAGUUCUUUAUCGAUGUUUCUUAGUGUUCUUUCUCAAUGUUUACAUAUAUGCAAGGAGCAGCUUUUGUUACUCGUUGACUUUAAAUGACAUCCUUCAUUGGUUGCACUGCAUUUUGCUGAAAUCAUCUAGGCCCCAGGUUGAAUAUGAGUUUCUAUUUUCUAGGUCGAAUUGUGUACUAAAAUUUGUUUAUUUCAGGUGUAGUUGUUUAUGAAUAUGAGUUGAAGCUUGGAUGGGGUAAAUCUGUGGCUCUUCCAUCCCAGGCAUUGCCUGCUCCCCCACCUGGUCACAUGGCCAUCAGAAAUAAGGAGGUCUGUUGACUUUCUUCUGUGCUCGUUAUAUGUACCUUUUCUUUUUUUAAUUGAAAAAGAGAGAGUUUCUAUUAGUUAAUUGUUUUUGUUAGAUUACAUGUAUUUUUUAGCUUUUGGAAAACAGAUUUAUUCUUUGAAGUAUUUUGUUCUUCGUUUUUAUUUUUCACUUCACUCAUGUGGGGUUUACCUAUCAUUUAAUGACACUAUUUUUCAUUAUGGUAAAUGGCAGGGUGGUACUGUGAUUAUAUCUGGCCCUGAUGGUGCAGCAGUUACUUCUGUUACAAAUCAAAACUCCGAGUUGGUAUGUUACUUGAUUUAUUGAGAAAAACAUCAUUCAGCCUUUACUUUUCAAUGUUGAAAUGUAAUUAUUGCAAGACUAACAGUUACUCUUCUUGAUUAAUAGCCAAUUUUAUGAAAUGAAUCUUAUUUUUUUACAAAAAUAUGGAAACAAUGUACAGCAAUCUUGUUUGGUUAUUUUUUUAUAAUAUUCUUUAGGUAAUAAUUUAUAGUCUGUUGCAACUAAGUUACAUAAACCUUUUAAUCCAGUUUUUUUUUUCAGUUCAGUUGACAUUUAAAUUUUAGGUCAUCUACUUAAAUUUUUGAAAUUGUAUGAUGUGAAUUGGCCAUGUAGUCUGUGGGCACAGGCUAUGCUAUUUCAGAUUAACACGGAAUACAGAUUAGUCCCAACAUAUGGGUUUGCAGAAGUCAAGAUAGUAGGGCUUCAGCAGCACAAGAUGACAAAAUAAGAAAGAGGUAGAAUGGAAUCCAUUUGAACUAAGUGAAUGUAAAAUUUGCUAGAAAUUUCAGCUGGAUAUAUUAUGAAAAUUGUGGCUGUAAUUACAUCUGGAUAUUAAAACACUUAAAUCUAACCAAAACACAACCCUUAAUGAGAAUAAGGUGUCGAUGAACUGAUGAUAGAAUUGAUGGAUGGAAAUUAAUAUGUCCAGUCUAUGUUAGUGAAGUGCUUUAUUUGACCAAGUCACUUGAGAGCAUAAAAUCUUGAAGUUUGAACGUCUAACUCGACAAUGCGCUCAUAUGUCUUGGUCUGGCCCCUAUAUCCUGGGUUCAGCACAAAGUUUUCCCUAAAAUAGAAAUUAAACCUCCUGUUAUUACUAAAGGUCUGAUUUUCGGCUUUCACUAAUUUAUUUCUGUGAUAUUUAUCUUAUGACCUUGUAACUCUUGUAUCCAUGGUUUGCCGUACCGGUAGGCCGGUACGUACCGGUCCGGCAUGGAAUCCGGUACCGGUAGUUUAUUGUUGAAGAACUAGUACAGGACUGGUUCGGAUCGGUAUGGGACCGGUCCGGGCUGCCACUGGUACGCCGACCGGCACUGGUACGGCGGACCUUGUAUCCCCUGGAUUGUCAAAACUUGAUUGGAGCGUCCGCAAGAUCAUGGAGAAUUUUUUUUGGGCCUAUAGUUAAUGGCUAUUUUGCUAAAAUUUGCAGAAAAUUUUUCUAGCAUGUAGAUAUGCUCAUCUUUUUGUUUUGGAGAUACUUGCAAUGAUUUUUAAUGUAUUGGAAGUGAAUAGUUAACUUGUCAAUUUAUAUGUCCAACUGCUGGGUAAAGGUUGUCUAUUAUAAUAUUUAUUCAUUGCUCCAUAUAAUCAGAGAUAUAUAGUAAUACAACUGCUUGCUUAAUUGAGAACUAAGGUCUAACACCUACUUGAUGGUCAUGAUCAGCAAAAAAUGGAGGUGAAUAAUCACGAUUGGUUGCUCAGCUGGCUGGCUGCUUGCAUGCUGUUGCUUAGUUCCUAAACCGUGGCGGACAAUCCUUAGCAAAAGGAUGCUACUGCCUCUUUGAGGACUUCUUGUCAAUAGCAUAUACUUCAAAUUUUCACAUUCUAUGCCUUAUAGCUGUUUAGUCCUUUUAUUCUUGUGAGAUGGAAAUGCAAGAUGAGUAGCAGCAAUUUUUUUCCUUGUGCUUCUUGGAGGCCAUGAAAAUAUAACACAUCAAUGUUCGUUUCUGAAAUCAGGGCAGAUAUAUUUUCCAGAUAAAAAAGGGAUAUGGCGGUCAGCUUAGUUGAUUAAGAGCAUCUAUUAUUAUCACUCUAUGAUAAUAAAUUGGGUUAGUUUUAGUUGACUUUCUUUUCCUGUAUACUAGAAUAAAGGUGAUGCUCAUAACUGCACCAAUUAUAAUCAAAGGAAAGCAUAUAAGGUGCUCAAUGAGGUAGUGGAACAUAUAUGAGCUGCUCAGUGAGGUAGUGGAACAUAAAAUGUUACAAUCUCCAGGAACCAAUUUGCUUUAAUACCCAGGUAGGUAACAAUUUGAUUUCUCUCCCUUGGGAAGUUGUUGACCAGUAGAGAAGACAAUGCAUUACACAUGUUCUUAUCAACUGGAAGAAAACUUUUGAUUGAGCACCACGGCAUGUGAUUUUAAGAUGUAUAAGUUAGCUUUUCUUGAGAUUAAUUUUGACUAGUUGCCUUAUACCAAAGGUUGGUCUGGCAUGUGCCAUAAUGCAUUAAUUGCUGAUAUUUAUGAGAGUAUUGACUGGUAUUAUGAUUAUUAAGAAAAGUUUGGCUAGAUUAGGGUCUAAAAUCAGCAAAAGUGGAGCAAGUGCUUAGGACGCAAGUUUAGUUUGAAAAGAAUUAACAGAAGGCCAAAUUGAAAAUGAUGAGAUACUCCGAUGGCUCAUAUUUGUUACUGUCAUAGUGACAAGUUGAGAGAUUAGUGAAAAAGUUUCUUCCCUACUUUGCCAGGCUGUUUUUAGAUGUUAUAAUGCCUGUUUCUUGUAAAGCUUGAUUUGUCGUUUACUUUCAAACAGGAAAAUGAAGGUAUCAUUUUUAUGUGAUCAAUACAUGUCUUUGAGACAUUCCUUCCUAUUAUUUAAUACAAUUUGUGAGGCUGAUAAUGCUAAGGGCAUAUGCAAAAAUCAUGGACCAAAUCUUUAGAAAGAUCUUCCAAGUGCUUGACAAAAAUUGUGGCCUCUAAUAGAAAAAGAAUGCUGAUGACAUAAAAUAGUUGGCUUAUUAUUUGAUGGCCUAUAUGUUUUUAGUGGUUAGUGCCACUGAGAACUGAAGUCCAGUGACCAUAUAUUUUGAUUUGUGGUAACCUGUAAUUGCUAUAGUGUAGAAAGAAAACGAAGAUAUGCUUUUUGUCCUAUUAACUCUCUUAGUGUGAUUUCAUUCUUUUAUUAAUAAUGCUGAAAUAGUCAUCAUUCAAUAGAAAUUUCGGUGCUGUCAUCAUGCUUAACUAUUUAUUGUUAAUGCUUUAUAGAUUGUAUCUACUAAAGGUGCAUAACAUUACUCUUGAUCAUUGGGACAUUAGUUCCAUAUUAUGCUAAAAUGUGGAAGUCCUUUAGAAAGAGCCAAGUUUUAGGUAAUUGAGAGAAAAAAGGUGACUGUUUGCCUUUUUCUCCAAUUAUAUAUACGGCGGAUAUCAGGGGAUUGUAAAGAAAAAAGAAAAAAAUAUUGUUUGACCAUGUAAAUGUGCCUGAUCGGUUUGUUGUCCAAUCCAUUUCCCGUUACUUGUUAAUUGGAAUAUGAUGUGACAGCUUCUUCAUGAGUAUGUGAAACUACAAUGCUUUUGCAGAUAAUGGUAGCUUUAUUCAUCUAGUAACAUGUAAAUAUGCAUCAGCCACUUCCCUCUGAAUGAUUUUUUGUUUUGCUUGCUUACAUUUCAAAUCAUCUCCAACUGAUUGUUCUGUCCCUUUAUUCAAUGUUACUUAUUGUUCUCUGUCUUGUAGUGUAGAUUGCUUUUAAAGUGAUUUGCUAUUUUAAAUUUAUGGGCUGGAACUCAGCUCACCUCGUGAAGGCUAAUCAAAAUUGUGUCAGUGUUGCUAGUUUUAUAUGUUGUUGAAAACUUUCUAUACUGUUCACAUAAUAUCUGCUUGUUCUCACAUAAAUUAAACAUAUUUAAGUAUUUCCAUGGUUUUACUUGUUUUUCUAGGUGCUUACUCCAAAUGUUCCAGAUAUAGUGGUCGUACCUCCAGAUGAUGAUCACUUACGACAUGUGAUGAACACAAUGGCAUUGUAUGUUCUUGAUGGUGGAUGUGCUUUCGAGCAAGCUGUAAUGGAAAGGGGCCGCGGAAAUCCACUUUUUAACUUCUUAUUUGAUCUUAGAUCAAAAGAGCAUACAUAUUAUAUCUGGAGGCUUUACUCCUUUGCCCAGGUUAUAUGCUUUUUGUUCUUCUUACCAAUACAUUUCUUGUUCACUGUUUUGCCUUUAGCUAGAAAUAUUCAUUCAUUUUGUUAAUUUGCCGUUAUUCAGGUAAUUUUAAUACCAAGAAAAGAAAAGUAGUCAUACAGUAGGUAAAGCCUUCAUGGAAGAAGAGGUAGCUGCACAUUCGUACUUUGUAGAGCUUCCUCAAAGUCUUCCUUAGUUUGUCUACUAGUGACAUAAAAUCCAUGGCUUGUAAAACAUGAAGAUCGAAUAAUUGUAUGCCAAAAUCUUCUCUACAUAAUUUACAAUUUAGCCAUGAUCAAAUCCCGUAGUGACGAAACAAUUCUGCAGAAUUUUUCUCAUUGUACAAUCCCCUUCAUUUCUUGGCGAUCUAAUGUGUCAGGGGUCUAAGGGAACAUUUCAGACUUCUGAUUUUGCGGACCUCUACAAUGAUGUUAUAAUGAGCCUUAGUGUCUUUUGAAUCUCCUACCUUGCUUGGGUUCCUCAUUAAACAACCGUCAAAAGUUAAUGCAUCCCUGAGAAUAUUAUUUGAUCAUUCUUCCACAUAUUAAAUCCAUAAGAUUUUGUGCCUGAAGGACAACACGAUAUCAGACAGCCCCACCCAAUUAAACUGUAACAUGGUCUACAAAAUUAAAAGGAUGUACAUUCAGCUCAAUUUCAGAUGGAGCCUCAAUCAGAAAGGCCCACCCAAUGUGCCCACAUCAUCCUGUUGUUCUCUGGCAUUGUCCCAUCAAAUUUAUCCCAUAAUACAAUGGCUGAUUGACGGGUUAGAAUGUCUUUUACAUCCUAUUUAUUGACAUGAAAAGCCUCAUAUUACAUCUUGAAUGAGGUUUAUGGAUGUGAACCAUGAAGUGACCCCAGAGCCCCAGCAUUAUACAAGGUUUGCAAGCUGAAGAUUGCUAAAUACGCUGAAAGCUGCCACAUAACAACCAGAAAGCUUUUGUAAAGGGAUUGGUCUCCAUUUAUGCCAUUAUGUUGUUCUAGAGUGUAGUUGUUUUGGAAUUUUGAAAAUGGAAAGGAUAUUGCCGAUCACCCUUCUGAGAAACGUGUAUUCUAUGGCAUUGUAGGGUGAUACGCUUCAGCGAUGGCGGACAGAGCCCUUCAUCAUGAUUACGGGCAGUGGAAGGUAAGCUAGAUUCUUAGGUUCUGUUUCCUAUUGUGGUUGUGUCUGCAUGACACAAACUUCAUCUAAGAUCAAAGUUUUGAUCUAUUAUGAUGUGCAAUCUGUCGGACAUCAUGGUUGCUUUCUAGUUCUGAGCUGAUUUUGGUACGCUGUUAUAUUUUUUCUUUUCUAAUGCAAACCUCUGUUGUUAACCUAGGUGGAUUCCACCUUCUUUGCCACCUAGUCGAAGCCCUGAGCAUGAAAAAGAGUCUACUUUUGCAGCUGGUAGAAGCAGGGUAAGCUGUCAUAUCAUAGCAGAUUAUAGCAAUUGUUUUCCCCUAUCCAUGAGUUACAAAUAAUAUAGUUCACAAUAAGUCCAGGCUUGCUUUAUUUCUCAUUAACGUGUGGCAAGAAUAAUUUUUCCUCCGAUGAAAUAAUUCCUCGAUGUGGUUCUAGCGUGUGGAAUUGGAGCGUACAUUGACAGAUGCCCAGCGAGAUGAAUUUGAGGACAUGUUGCGGUCCUUGACUUUAGAGAGGAGUCAGAUAAAAGAAACUAUGGGGUUUGUGUUGGAUAAUGCUGAUGCUGCUGGAGAGGUAAUGCUAACCUUGUAUUGUGGUUGAUACUAAGGAGUCGUCUUUUUCUGAUAGGUCUCUUUGAUGACUUUUUCUGGAGUUUUCCUAUGAGAUCCAAAUUUUAAAUCCUGCUUAACAUUAUCUAUAUUUUGUUUUGAAGGCUUCUCACUGCAGCCUUUGCACAAACUAAUAAGACCUUUAUCUUGCAUGAGCAGUAGGCUUAGCUCUAAAUGAAUGCUGAUAUUAUUUGCCUUUUUCACUGUCCUGCUUUUUGUUUCAGUAGCUCUGCAACUCCAUUCUUGUACUAACCCUUCGAUUUUUACUUGAUCUACUACAGAUAGUUGAGGUUCUUACCGAGUCUUUAACACUUAAAGAAACGCCUAUACCAACCAAGGUUGCAAGACUUAUGCUGGUAUCUGACAUUCUGCAUAACAGUAGUGCCCCAGUGAAGAAUGCUUCUGCAUAUCGUACUAAGUUUGAAGCAACCUUGCCUGACAUAAUGGAGAGCUUCAAUGAUUUGUAUCGCAGCAUCACUGGACGGAUCACUGCCGAAGCACUGAAGGUAACUCGAGACCUCCAUCAAGGCAUAAGUUUGUCAUUUUUGAUGUUGUCAUCACAUGUUGCAUGUUCCUUGUGUUGGCUGCAGGAAAGAGUUCUCAAGGUUAUUCAAGUAUGGGCAGACUGGUUUCUCUUUUCAGAUGCAUAUUUGAGUGGGCUGCGAGCCACUUUCCUUCGAUCAAGCAAUUCAGGUGUCAUCUCCUUCCAUUUGAUAUGUGGUGAUGCACCAGAGAUUGAAAAUAAAACUGGCCAUGAAGAUGCAACUUAUGAUGGGGGUAAGCCUAACCAAGAUGGUGCAUUGGCAAUGGGAAGGGAAGCAGCCAUGAAGGAGCUACUGUGCCUUCCUAUUGCUGAACUAGAAAGGCGCUGCAGGCACAAUGGUCUGUCACAGUGUGGUGGAAGAGAGAUGAUGGUUGCCAGAUUGCUUAAUCUGGAAGAAGCAGAAAGGGGGAGAGGCUAUGAACAAGAUGAUGAUCGAACAUAUGGACCAAGCUAUUCAUAUAAAUAUGCUAGGGAUGAGGGUGUCGGGAAUGCCCAUAAUGCUGGACAUGGAGAACCUAAACUUGAUACAGAAUUAUUGGGCCCGACUGGAUCAAAUCAGUAUGGCAACGAAGUGAUUGGGAAAGACUCUGUUUCACCUGAGCAUGAAACAGUUACAAACGAGAGAGGAAAAUCUGAUCCAGUUUUACUAGUUUCUAAAUGGAGCCGAGAGGAUGAUGGUAGUGAUGAUGAAGAUAAGAAAAGUCCUUCAGGUUUGGGCUUAAGUUAUUCGUCUGGGAGUGAAGAUGCUGGUAAUCUUGGAAAGGCUGCUGAGUUGGAUGUCGUUGCUGCUGGCAUUCAUACUCACCCUGACAAUGUUAUGAAUGAAGAAUAUAGGUCGGAACAUGCUUAUAUAAGAAAAUUACCUAGCUUCUUGUAGUUUGUUUUGCUAAAAUGAUAAUCUUCAGUCCAUAAUUGAUUAACCGUUAUUUCUCCUGCAGACAGAAACUAAGGCGUUUAGAGGUCGCUGUAAUGGAAUACCGUGAAUCUCUUGAAGAACAGGGCUGUCGAGGUAAAGAUGAAAUCGAAAAGAAGGUAGCGAUUCAUCGAAGACGACUUCAAUCUGAAUUUGGUUUAUCAGAUUCUGCCGAUGAUUCAUGGAGCAACAGGAAUCCAUCUGGUCAGUGAGAAAAAAAAAAGCUAUUUUUGCCAUUAUAUUCUUAUGUCUAUCUAUAUACAUGGAAUAUACUGAAGAAGGUAUAUUGCAAUUUCUGAUCAUGUGAUGUCACAUUAUGUUGAUUAGUAAAAAGUACAAAAAUAUUAAUAGAAGUAGAAUUUAAUAAAUUUUUAUCUUGAUCCGUGUUUUUGAUUUGUGACUGUUAAUUCUAGAAAAAUUAUUUAUGCCAGUUUAUACAUUAGACUCCUUUUUUUAAUGGUGUUGCAGCAUCCAUGUGCAUUAGAUUCCUGUUGUUUACUCAAACUACUGAACUUGCAGAAAGGAUAUCUAUGGAGAGGAAGGAGAGACAUGGUGUCGGUGAUACUGCAAGGAAGCGCCGUCGCAGCCAUAGUCAAAGCCGCAGUCCACAGAGGAAGUCAUCAGACAGGGAUCGAGAUAGGCACCGUGACAGAGACAGGUCACAGGAGGAGAGUGGGAGAGAGCGGUCACGUGAGAAGAGUGGGAGUAGAGAGAAGGACAAUCAUCAUGACAAGGAUAGGACGAGAGAGAGGGACAAGGAUCGGAGGAAAAAUGCGAAAUAAACCACUGCAGGGAGUAUGAAUUGGCUCUAAGUACAGGAUUGCUUCUCAUGUGGCUCACAGAUGUUUGCGCCAGAGACCAGUGAAGGAGAGUGCCUGAAAAUGCAAUCUUUUUGAAGUCUAUAGUUUAUUGAUUGGGUUUGGCUCAAGAAAGGUGAAGGCCGCCUUCAGUACAUUCACAUGAAAGGAGAAGCACCUAAACUGAGUUGGAUAUUGUAAAAUCUUAAUUUAGAUGCGGGUUCUGUUUUAAACAAACUGAGUUUUUCUCAGCUGAGAAAGGUGUAAGGUUUGUAGGUCCUAUGAGAUUGUAAGAUAUUUCUGCUGCUCAAAUGUUGGUGCAAGUGAAAAGAAAUAUAUAUUAUCUAAAGCAAAACCGUUGUUGCCUUUCACGAAGGUAAAGAUCAGAAAGCGGCCACCUCAUGAGACUUAGCUGUAGUAAAAAUUCUCCUCAAAAUACCGUAAAUUCUAACAUUACUUGUACGCAUGCAAAUCUAAAACAAAAUUUACUUUUGGGUAAACUUGCAUAUGAAGUAUAUACAUUUACUUGAUGUUGCUAGAAGCAGGGAUUAUACCUCGUCAAAUUUGUAUCUUUUUGUCAUCCAGCUGUUGAAAUGGUAUUAUCUUCUUUUAUGGUCCUCAUACAUUGAUGUGAUGUGCAUGGACGGAAGUGUGGGAGGUUAGAUUUUUAAGCUUGAUAGGUCCCACAGCGGCUGCAGAUGCGGGGCAACAUCUUUAUGCGUUGGCCAAACUCAAACUAGGAAGCUAUAAGUGGAACCGCCUCGUGAGGUUUAGUACUAGGCUCGGUAUCUGGGAUGAAAUUAUGAUACGAGCGAUUUCUGUGCGAAGGAUGCGAUCAGAGUUUACCGCAGAAAUCAAACGAGUUUGUUGUUAAUGAGCAACUUCAUAUUAACAUGCUUCGCUGGAUUAGUAUGAGCUUGAGCAAGAAAUAGAAAUAAGUCAAGCUUGACAUGCAGGUUACUCAUGCUUGGCCUGAUUAGAUAUUGUCUACAUGAUUGCUUAUAAAGAGUUUUAAUAUUCAUCUAAUUGUAUAUUACGAUAAAUGUAUCUUAGUCACCAGUUGUCAUAAUGUAACAUCUAUGGGUUUUAUUUACUAGUAUACCUUCGAAUUAAGAAAUCUUAGUAAAGAUUGGUGAUUAAAAAAAUAUGUAUGUGAUAGCCUUUAGGGACCUUGGCUAGUGAAGAUUAGUGUACCUCUUUGGCUGGGAGAAGAAGUUGAGCCUGAGAUUGUUCAGCUAAAUUGAAUAACGUUCUAACUACGCUUUUUUUUUUCCAAAUUUUAUAUUAACAGUCGAAAAUCCAAUGUCAAAAUGUUUACCUGCUAGCGAAAGCUGUUAGGUUGGGAAUAAACAAUUAUAAAAAUGUCGCAUCAUUUUAUUUCCUUUGUUAUUUUGUAACUUUUUAAUUCAAAUUCCUUCGACGAAUUCUGGAUGUUGUUUUCGAAUAAUAACCACUUCUUGAGCUGUUCCUAACUGUGAAAUCUGUGACAUGAUUCGGAUAGGCUACGUUUUCUUUUCUUUUUUUCCCGGGAAAAAGCGGAUAAGAUAUGUUAAGGAUAACAAGACGCCAAAAGUAUGAGAUCUUAACGGUAACUAAAAGCUCACCCAAGACUCUCUCUCUCUCUCUCUCAUUUCCUAUUACUCCAUCCAUCCCUAUCCUAAUGCUAUCUGGUCGAGACCCUUCAACUGCUACCGUUAUUCGAUGAUCAGAUUAGAUGAUAUAUCAUUCCUCGCAGGAAUCCAUAACAAAUAUGCUCAUGGAAAGUCCAUCCGUUGUUUAGGAAGGGAAACACCUACCAAAUAUUUCUCAACAAGCAGCCUAGAUUCGCCAGCUAACGAAGUUUCAAACCGUUUCAAAAAAAAAAUACCAAUCCGAUACCCACUUCAUAUCCCCCAAUAAAAUCCCCUCCACUACUUCACGUUCCAAAGCCCUCGCUUCUUCCCUCAUAGCUCGCCUCCUCGACUCUCUCUCUCUCUUUCUCUCUCUCAAAUAAGCAAGGCUACUCGUGGUGUUGCUGAAGCCUUAGAUCUGUUCCAAUGGCAGGCGCUAUGAAUGUAGCCACGGGUGAAGGGAAGGAGUACCCUGGGAAGAUUACUGUCUUUGUCUUCAUGAGCUGUCUCGUGGCCUCCUCCGGAGGCCUCAUCUUCGGCUACGAUAUUGGAAUUUCAGGUAAAUCUUGCAAGAGCUUUACUCUCUCAACAUCUUCUCUUUUAAUAUCUCAUUCCAAUAUAUUUCAUGGUCUUAUAAGUUGAUAUUUUCUUUUCUACUGUCAAUAGGUGGAGUGACAUCAAUGGAUUCAUUCUUGAGCAAGUUCUUUCCAUCUGUCUAUAGAAAACAGGCCGAAGACUCGAGUACCAACCAAUACUGUGAGUUCAACAGCCAGCUGCUUACCGCUUUCACAUCAUCACUUUACUUGGCAGCUUUACUUGCUUCAUUCUUUGCUUCAACCACAACAAGAGUGUUUGGAAGGAAGUGGUCGAUGCUGGGAGGAGGGCUUACCUUCCUUGUUGGUGCUGUCCUUAAUGGCGCGGCCAAGGAUGUCGCCAUGCUGAUCAUCGGCCGCAUCUUGCUCGGUAUUGGGGUUGGAUUUGCCAACCAGGUCAGAGACAUAACCAUUAAAGAGAAAGCAAUGAACACCUUCUUUUUUUUUUACCCUUAGAAAAACAAAAUACAACAAACACUUGAGGAUUCCACAUGCAUUAGGGUGGGGUCCCAACUCCUCAUCUAUUAUUUGAAUUGGUUUCAUACCUUUUCUUUGUUUUGAAUUGGCAAGUGGCAAAUGAAAUUAAGAAAGAAAGAUUAUAGCAACAUUACAUCAGUCUUGAUUAAUUCUUUCAUAUCCAUGUGAAAUGGUUUUAUUUUCUCCUGUUUCUUAACUAAAUGUGGAUAACUUAAUCCUAAAGAGAGUUCCUAAGGACCUGCCAAAUAUCAAGUAUGAUGAUAAAGCGAGAUCAAGAGAUCGAGGAGUGAUCCCACUCAUAAUUUUGUUCUUUUUAUGACUUUUUUUUUGGGGGGGGGGGGGGGGGGGGGGAAGCUUUUACUACUUUUCAUUAGCCAUAUACGAUAACUUAUGCAUUGUAUUAUAUUCUAUCACUAGAUGGCUGCAUUCUUUAAUUCCUUAAUCAAGUAAGACUGCAAUUUUAUGCCUCGAUUUUUGUUUUUUCCACAUGCUUGGCGGCUGCUGCUACUACUACUAUGUGAAUAAAUUAAAUAACAUUGCAAGUUUUACCAAAUUACGUGCAUGCGUGAUAUAUUUUUCGUAAUGAGAUUUUAAUAUUCUAAAAUGGAACUCGUACGUGCAUCAUCAUUUAUGGACUUUUUAAGCUCAUAUAUAUUACACCGCUAAUAUAAUACUGGAUUCUUCUGCUAAGAUUUUGAGUUUAAUAUUCCAGCAGUUCGUGCUCACAUUAUAACUUUAUAUCAAAAGGCUAGCUACCAUCUUUGAUCUAAAAAUCUUGUCCUACCAUUUGAUUUCCUACUACAGGCGGUACCGCUCUAUCUGUCUGAGAUGGCACCAGCAAGGCUACGCGGAAUGCUUAACAUCGGCUUUCAGCUUAUGAUCACGAUCGGCAUCUUCGUAGCAAACCUCGUCAACUACGGCACCUCCAAGAUCAAGGGUGGGUGGGGUUGGCGCGUCAGCUUGGCGCUCGCCGCCGUCCCUGCGGCCACCAUCGCCAUCGGCUCCUUGCUGCUACCCGACACUCCCAGCUCCCUCAUCGACCGCGGGCACAGCGAGAAGGCCAGGGCCAUGCUCCGUAGGAUUCGCGGCACCAGCGACGUCGAUGCGGAAUACGACGAUCUCGUGUCGGCGAGCGAGGAGUCGAAGCUGAUAAAGCACCCAUGGGCCACCUUGCGGGAGAGGAGAUACCGUCCCCACGUCACCAUGGCCAUUCUCAUUCCCUUCUUCCAGCAGCUGACGGGGAUGAAUAUUAUCAUGUUUUACGCCCCAGUUCUCUUCAAGACCAUCGGCUUCGGUGCUGAUGCCUCUCUUAUGUCUUCCGUCAUCAUUGGCCUUGUGAACGCCUUCGCCACCCUCGUCUCCAUCUUCAGCGUCGACAGGGCUGGUCGCCGUGUCCUCUUCAUCGAGGGUGGUAUUCAGAUGACCGUCUGUCAGGUAUUCUCUACUGCUUCGAUCUUCUCUACCGUAUGCUCUAACAAAUUUAAUUACAAAGAUUCGAGCUCACAUAUAUAUAUAUAUAAUUAUAUUCAUAUAAUAAUCACACUGGAAUGGAGGCGUGCCUGUACUUUGAGUUUGGUUGUAAGACAAGUCGUAUGAGUAUCUGUUGAUAGUUUUUUAUGAUGGCGCCAAUUCUAGUUAUUAUACAUUAAGUCAUGUAAAUUUUUACAUAAAUAGUGAUAGAUAGGAAUAUAUGAUUUUUAGAAGGGAGCACACUGUUUUUAUUCUCUUGUUGUUUCUAAAGAUAAAAGGCGCUUAUGAUGGAUAGUUAAUGUUUGAAGUGAAAUUCUAACCUGAUCUGUAUUUUUGGGUGCAACAUAACAUCUUCUUUUUUGUGGUUUAGAUUAUUAUCGGAGUUCUCAUUGGGAUCAAAUUCGGAACCAGCGGCGUUGCAGUUCUAUCUAAAGGAUAUGCCGCUGCUGUGGUACUCUUCAUUUGUUUCUUUGUCUGUGGGUAUGCCUGGUCUUGGGGCCCAUUGGGAUGGCUCGUUCCUAGCGAGAUUUUUCCUCUGGAGAUUCGUUCCGCAGCACAGAGUAUCACCGUGGCCGUCAACAUGUUAUUCACCUUCGUCAUCGCCCAGAUCUUCCUCCCUCUACUUUGCCACAUGAAGUUUGGUCUCUUCUUUUUCUUUGCCGGCUGGGAACUGCUUAUGACCAUCUUUAUUGCUAUGUUCCUACCUGAAACCAAGAACGUGCCUAUCGAGGAGAUGAACACCGUUUGGAAGAAGCAUUGGUACUGGUCCAAGUAUGUCGACGAGGCAUCAAAGGGCUCUUCUGUGGAAUGAUCAUUCUAUAUAGUAGAUUAACCUGUGGUCGCAUUUGAACCUGGGAAAAUACCAGUCAGAAGUCUUCAUUGGGUCUCUCAGUAAUUCAUUAAGGUUGUAGGGAUUGCUGAUUUCUUUUUCCUUUUUCUUUAUUGAUGUCAGAUCGAUAAAUUUUUAGGUUUUUCGUGGACCAUGAUUGUUUAUAGGUUAGCAUUCAGAGUAUUUGUGUAAUGAUGGCCAAUUGUAACGGCCAUCUGUUUUUAAUCUCUAAUUGAUAUUAUUUCAAGGUCGAUUAGUUGAUUGUUGACGAACAUUGCCUCGUUUGAUAGGACAGAACAAGGUCGUGUAAAUGAAAACUGACAUGAACAUGGGUACAAGAAUUGUGAUCAAGAACAACUAGAACUAAUAUAUCUAACUUCUCCAUUUAGCUUCCAUCAGUUUUAAAUGUUUAUUUAAACAAUCAGUUAAUUUGUAUCUAUUGAACAAUUAUAUAAUCCUAUUAAAUCAUGCCCAAGAAGAAUCUUAAAUCUUAGCCUCCUCCACUCUCUUCUCCUUCUACUCGUCUUCAUUCCUUGUUAUUCCAUUUUGCUUGAUGCACAUUUCUUCUUAUUUCAUUUCGUUCUCUCUUGAAUCUGGCUUUGAUCAUGAAGAAACGUAAAUCAUGUCCUAACCUCUGGAAGAUGAUAAUGGUCUACCAAUGUGAACUUGUAUAGUUUUUAGUUUUCCAGGACUCCCAUCCAUGGGUUAACUCACCCCAUUUUGAUCUCAGAUUUUGCUUAAAAAAUGGAGGGAAAUAAAUAUAAUAGCCAAUGAUGCAACAGUUAAUUACCUCACCUCUCCUGAUUCUUUACAAACACGUUUUUGGAUGAAUAUUUUCCUCCUUGCAGCGGAGUGGCUUUGUCUUCCAUUAACGCAUGCUCCACAAGUGGUUAUGCUGACGAUAUGUAGCUGUUUGCAAUGCCUCAGACUAUGGAUGCACAUUUCGUUUAUUAGAAAUUCCACCAAGAUAGUUUGAAACAGAAAUAGUUGUGAGAAAUGAGAGAGAUCGAUCUGCAGUAUUACAGCUGCAAUACUGGAUUUUACAAAUUUGACCAGAUUUUCCCUUUCUUUUUCUUGAAGAACAAGCUCCUUUUCCAAAGUUUCAAGACGACCAAAGUGAAACCUUAAGAGUAUCAUUUAAAUCAUAGCCGAAACUUCGUAAGACCUCAAAGUAUUGCGACUUCAUAAGAAUUGACCAUCAUGCUGCACAUGAUCAAAAGGGCCAGUUUCCUGAUUCAAAUAGUGGUGGUUGUUAACAAUAUAUAACAGUAAACCAAAUACUCUGAAUUUAAACAGUAGUCUCACCACCUCGAAACCCAAGGUGAGGCUCCACACUAAUUAUUGCCUCUAAUCACAUUCACUAGGGCUAUUUCCUAAAGCCAUGGUUAAUUGUAAGAGAUCGUCUAGGGCCAGCUCCAUGAAUAACAUAAAGGGUUUCGCUUUGAAACUGAGCACAGAGUUUAAUCCUGACAAAAUAUCUAGAUCCCAGUCAUGUUAUGGAACUAUUAUGACUGAGCUUAGAUAAAUCUCAUGUUUUGACUUCAUCGAAACGGCGAUUGAGUUCCUGAUGUUGAAUUUUAUGCUAAUAAAUUUAAACAUCCAGUAAAUCCAGGCCCAACCCUAGAUAUUGCAAUUUUAUCAGGUUCUGCUAACCAUAGAAACGUUUGAUUUCAAAAGAUUUCAAAAGAUGCUUGGUAAUAUGGAAAACUGAGAAAGAAUAUGACCAAAACCAAAAUGUACAUCCAAUUAGUUGCACAUACAAGAACAUGAGUUUACAUGCCUACUGAGAAAAUGGUUAGCCGUACAGUUUAAAAUAUUGAUACUGCAGUUCAAAUCCAAAGAUCAUAUGGUCAUUGGCAGAAUUUUUUGAGUUGCAACCUGAGGCUUGAUCUCCCACGAAGCCAUUUGAUCAGCCUCUUCCGGCAGGAUGAAAGGCAAUGAGAUCUCCCGGAUCAUUAGGUCCCCACAGAAUGGGCACUCACUGGCUAUAGCAUCAUCCAGCUGUGACCGCAGCUGUCCCAGAAAUUCAAGUAUAUGCAUGUCAAUGUAGCAAUAACUCAACAAUCACCACGAAUAUUACAUAAGGUUCAUAUCAUACUUACCUUAUCUAUAGGCGUCGUGCUCGUGAUGGAUUCACCAUUUGCACUGCCAUUUGAUUCCUUUGUUGCUUUAUCCCCAAGUAAACUGAGCUGCUUCUGAAGGUCCAGUAUAUAUUCAGCCUACAUCAAACAUAUAAUAAAUGGUUUAAAGAAAGCAGGAUUAUUGUUGCAUUCUUAUUCUUCAGAGAAUGUUGUAUCUCCACCAGGGAGAAAAAAGCAUGCGAUGCAAGAAAACUAGGUCGUCUAUUUUUCAGAAAAAAUGAAUUAGAUGAGGCUGAACAGAAUAAACACAGAUGGUUUAGAUAUUUGUAAUACAAGCGCAAAAUUUGAAAGACUUUUACAGGGAAUUAUUAUUAUUACAGUAAUUGCUGGCAGAGAUGAUAACUAUGCUCAGAUUGGUAGACCAGAAAUAAUUACUGAAAUAACAGAGCGACCCAAGAAAGGAAGUAUCAGAAGUCUGCAGCCAUUUAUUUGAACAUUUAUUUGUACAUGAGGAACACUGGAAGUACCUUUAUUUGUACAAAAACUGAAGUCUGCAGCCAUCUUAUUAAUGCCCGGUUACUGCAUCAUUUUAGGGAGGGUAAAAAUGUCUUGCCAAUUGUAUGGGGGACAUUUGUGAAAUUGCUUUGCGGAAGAUGUUCACUCACGUAACAGUGGCAUCUUCAAUGAAUUUUAUUCAAUAUUUUCUAAAUUAAUAUUUGUUGCCAUACAAGAUUCAGGAUAUCCAACCUAUUACUAAUAAGGAUCUUUUCCAAAAGAUUUAUAGUAACAUAAUUUUUUAAGAACUUUCACAAGAAAACAUCAUAACUUAGUAAUCAUAGAAACAGAACCAAGGCAACUUGUGACUUACCUGAGUCCGGCUUGUGUAUUGAGUAACAUGAGCAAUCAGACAUCGAGCAUGAAAGGUAUGCCCACAAGGAAAGACAUAAAAUGGGGCCAUAGGUCCAACUGAUGUAUAACCUCUUGCUAAUCGUUGUGUUGCACCAGAUGUUAAUAUUCUGCGUUUGCAACCCUAAUAACAUAAUAGAGAAAAAGGGUAGGUAAGAACAUCGCAAAUGCAUCAGGAUUGUCUUGGUGCAAGAAAAUAAUGAUUUUUUGAACUUAAAAGUUAAAACAAAGCAUAAGCUUUCAACAUACAUGCCUAUAAAAUAUAAUUUCAAGGAAGAAAAAAAAAAUCCAAAUAAACUUUGAUGGCAGAAAGCAAAUCCUUUUUCCCAUAUCAAUGAGAAUUGACCAUAUCUUAAGUGGGCAUCAGGAAACCAUGUAAUCAAUCAAGCACAAAAUGCAAAAGCAAUAAGCCACAGUGAUUAGGUCUUAACAUGAAAUACAUAAUCAGGAUUAGUUUCAACCGAAAUUUGUUGUACUAGUACCAGAUACUAUAUCAGUACCUUACUAAUAUAGUACGGACUGUUAUAGUCACUCCCAUACUGAUAUAUGGCAUGCUGCUAGAGAUGAGAUAGAAGCAGUACCAUGUGUGAGUACGGUACUGUAAUGAACUCCUGUAUUGUACCGAUACCUUACCAGUAGGCCGUAUGGGUUGGUCGGUACCAUGAAAUGCCGUACCGGCCCGUACCGGCCGGUACGUACCGGUCCGGUCCUAGACCGGUACCGGAACCACAAGAAAACCGGUAUCGCACCGGUACUGUACCGAUACCGGCCGGUACGGAGCCCGUACCGGUUUUCUUGUGCGAACCGGCCGGUUCGCACCGGUACGAUUUUUUUUUAUAAUGAACCACAGCGCGGGGCGCUGUGGUUUUUGGCUCGCGGUACCGGCCGGUACUGUACCGAUACCGGCCGGUACGUACCGGACCGGACCGGUACCGUACCGGUCCGGCCCGCCACCGGUACGCCGACCGGUACCGGUACGGCGGACCUUGGUCGGUACAGUAAACCAGGAUUUCAAAUUUUCCAUUUAUGUUGCAAUGUCCUUGGCUAGCCAUCAAGACUAGCCUUCAAAAUUGCUGAACUUUCUGUUAGUUUAGGUACAACUAAUAUGUUUAAGUGAACACAGACAUCUGAAACAAUAGUUACUAUUUAAGACAAAAUAAUCACAACAGUGGGAGGAUUUUUUUCCAAAUAAAAGAACAUUUUGUAGGAUAAAAAGGAAAACAAUGUCAAUUCAUCCCAUGGACCAGUACCCCGCAUUCUGCAUCACGAUCAAUAACAGCAAAUCUUUGAGCAAGGGCACUGAUAUCAUUCCUUAUGUUGUCAGCCCCAUGUGUAGCAUCGUUCAUCUCCUGUUUCAGUUGCUCGAUCUGCCUGUUGUAGUCCUCCAAGGAUGUGCAGAUAGCUUCCUAUAAUAUACCAAAUAAAUUUUAAAUGUUAGGUUGCUAAGUAACAAUUAGCAAGUCCUCACAAUAUAUAAGAAUUUUUCCACAAAAAAAGCAAGUAUUUGAGUCUUAAAUCUUAUGUAUUGCAUUAAACCUGCACGAAGUAGACUACAAAGACUUCAAACUCAUAAAUACAUAAUGCUUGAUUUACAUAUUUUAUAUAGGAAAGCAGAGUCAGUCAAGGAUAGGACCAGCUGAGGUUUCACUGGCUUCCAGUGCAGCAUGAUCCUGUUAAACAUGUCUAUUCCAUGUGCAGAUAUACAGUGGAGUAACUUGCAAAUUCAAUUAUUCUACUAUGGAAACUUAAGCAGCAAGCAUGCUUGCAUAUAACACAAAAUACCGUGAACAGAAAUGCUGUAAACAAUAUACUGUUGCAGGAAAAAACCUUGGACAUUAAUGUCGCAAAGGACUUUAACUGGGUGAUUCCAGGUUACAGGCCACUUAGGCCCGAGUUUUACAGGGGUACAGAUUCCAAAACUAUCCAUGACAAUGUUAACAGAAUUAAAAGAGCUAUUUUGGAAUAAAUUGCCAUGUUAAUUAAAAGAAUAAAUUUUCAUCUAUUUAUUUAUGCAGAAAUGAUGUGGAGCAUACAUUUUGGUAUAUUUUGGAUAUUUAGUCAUUAAAUUGCUUUUUAAAUGGAUUUACAGUCAAGGUUUGAUCAGAGUUUUUUUUUUGAAAUUCUUAAAAGAUUAUAAUUAGAUUUCCUCUAAAAAUGCAGCUGUAACAUGCUUUCUUUUUUUCCUCAUCAUGUCUAAAGUAGCAAAUAAUCAUCGGAAAUUAGAAUGCUUGAAGCACAGUCAAAAGAAUUUUACUUUGAAGUCAUCAAUCAGUGCAAAGUCUGGAAAGAAUGGCAAAAUGUCCUCAAUCUUCAGCAGGCCAUCAGUUUCCUUGAGAAAUGCUAUUGCCUUCCUUAUAUUCUCCCUUUUAACUCCUUUUUCUUGCUCAAUUACAUGCUUUGCCACCAUAAGCCAUAGCUUCUUCCUUAGAUCCUCAUCAUCUUCAACCUUGUCUGCUUCCGCCAUAGCAAGUUCUGGGUCUACCUAGUAGAAAGUCAUCCAUUCAAACAUAAUUAAUAUCUAGGAGGAAGCAUAAAAUCUUAUAAUGCCGUCCACAAAAUAAGUCAUCACAGUGCUGCCUCAAACAAUGAUAAUGCAGUUUCAAAACUUACAAGAAACAUAUAAUAUCAGCAAGGACAAGUACAAUAGCAUCAGAAACAUGUCAGUGAUUUUUACUGCAAGACUUCUUUGUUCUCAUGCAUAAUAUACAUACACAACUAUCAUCCUCUAUAACCUAAACCAGAAAGUAGUUAGUACUAGAUAUAUUGCAUGAUUUAAUAAGCAGUGUCAAAAAAAUCUGAAAAGUAGUGAACCAGAGAAAACUAAUCAGUAGAAUCAUAUUUUUUUUUCCAGUUACCAUAGAGCAUCCCCAGGUCCCGAAAUCUAUUAAGUGCAUCAAAUUAAUAAAAAGAUUAUGGCCUAUGUAAAAGGCAAUAUUAAUAAGUGCACCAAAUCACAGUUACCUUCUACUAUAAUUAGUUAGAGGAUGCGGAUGAGUAUCUAGAUCCAGGUCCCAUAAUCUAGGCUAGACCAACCAGCUUAAAAGGUCUAGCCUAUGAAAUGGGUUAGAGAUUUGAGAUUAGGGAUACACGUUCGGUAUAGCUCAGUACUCACAAAUACUAUUACUCUUGCAACCUAAUCAGUUUUUUGCUCUAAAGACUGAUUCGUUCUAAUUUCUAGGUUAAUUAAUAAACACUUUUUAGUUCUGAAGAAUUCUCUAGCACAAGAUCUGAUUUUUAGCUCAGUAAAAUAUUAGAAACCAAUCCGAUUAUAGUAAAGAUAUAUAACAAAACCCGCAGUCCAGAUGCGGCUCCUAUCAAAUUAAUUUUCAAAAACAAAUGAGGGUUGGUACCAAGGACCUAGAUUCAAGUCCUGCCCUCACUCGGAUUUCAGCUGGAAUUUCUCCAUCCUAGUUCUAAAACAAAUCAAAAACAAUUAAAUAAUAUAAUCACAUUUGAAACACAAAUUACUAAUAAUAAUAAUCCACAAUCAGAAUGAAGAAAUCUGAAUAAAUAGUGGGACGCACUUGAAUGAAAGGAAGUAUGAAUCUAAAUUAAAUAGUAAAACAACUAGUCUAGGGCAUGCGCGGUUGCAUUACAUUUGUAGUCAAGGCUCAUAAAAAGAAUACCAUUUGGAAAAUGAAUGACAAAAGCGGCCGCAUGUGAUCAAAUAUUUCAGUAAACCAUAUUUCUGUAUCAGCCCUAGAAGCCCAUCAAGUAGGCUACAAGGAUUCCAAAAGAGACUAUGAUUCACAAAUAUGGAUGAUCUAGCAGUGGAGGGGGGCAAGCGAGAGAGGAAAGGAAGAAAGGACAAGAUCAAGAGAAAAGACAUGGCAGAUAAAAAGAAAAGGAUGUGCAAAAGUGACCAAGGUAGUGACAGGGAUUUGAGUACUUUGUUCUGUGCUUGUGUUGGUCAAGCCCUAGCAUAAUAUGUAUUAUGCCAUGUGGAGCUGUCUAGUCACAUGCUCAACCACGUUUUAAGGCUCAUGAAAACCAAUUCUGGCCCCCAACGGUCAAUACUAGUGUGUGCCAGAUCAUCAAUGAUUAAUAUGGACUGGCAGGAACUAGCAUAUACAAUAUAGAGGUACAUAUCCUUGUCUCGCACUGAUACAUUAUUGGCAUGAUAUGUAUAUGGCAUGGAACAACAUGGUACAUCACCAACAGCCAAGAAAGGAAAAACUAAAAGGGGAAGCCCAGGUGAAGAUUGCCGUUACAGGAACCUUCAACUGGUAAGAAUCCCCAGCCACCCUUCAAUCUCUUGGAUUUCCAUAUCUCCUUUUUCUAUUAACCUAGGGACAUCAAAUAAGAUGCCAAAUCACUCAAGUUGUCAUGUGACAGGCAUGUGACUAAUUAAGUAGGUUGAAACACUCCCAUACGAAAGGUGAAAAUAAGCCAAACUAAAUGAAAACAUAUCAAACAAAUGCCCUAGAAUAUAUUGGUCAAAAUAGUAUUAAAGACAUUUAAAUAUACCAUGCUGUUAUCACAUGUGAUGCAGUUAAUACUAGAAUAUCUGCUAACCGAUGCAUGUUUUAUGUUGGUAAUCUUUCCUGAAAUAUUCAGGAAAGACACCGAAUAAUGCAGUGACAUUUAUAUCCGGCAGAUAUUAUUCAAAUUACUACAUAAGAGAAUUACAUUGAAGUGAUAAAGAAUUUUAUAAAGAAAAAAAAUCAUCAAUCAUUUUUACCUGCAAUGCAAGGGCGACAGCUUCUUCAUGCAUGGACAUCAUGCUGUAUAUAUGAACACAAGCACGCAUACGUUUUUCCUUGAGGCACAGUCGCAAUGCAUAUUUGGGAUCAUAAAAGAACUCAGGGCCACUAGUUCGUCCUUUACCAAACUUGCAUUGUAAAAAACGCAAUAGAGAACUCUCAUCUUCCUGAACAUAAUAUCACAAAAUAAUUGCUGUUAUAUAGUGAAGAUGAUUACUGGGCAUCCAUUUGUACACCAAAACACGCAAUACUAUAGUGAUAUCAGACAUGAAAUAGCUUUGCUGUAUCGUGUUUUCAACAUUAAAUAAUGCACAGCAAUUUUUCUGAAAUAGCUUUGCUCACAGCUAAACAUUAAGAUGCUUGAAGAGCAAUCAAAAUUGCAUCUGCAUGUAUGAAACAUAUAAGAUCACAAGCACUUCACAGGUCAGAUGCCUAAAACAUGAAUUCUUAACUAGACAUACUAAAACACAAUAUGGCAUGUUGGAGAUGUUUGUCAUAUAUGUGACCGUUACAAGUUCUAAUUGAACAUAAAUUGAUAAAUUGAAUUGAGAUGCUUAAGAUAGCCUACAUCUAAUGCCUGAGCCAGAAAACUUUGAAAAUUGGAAUAUAAGCAAUAAGAUACUUGCAUAAUCUAAGAUUUCACAAAAUGAUAUGUGCAGAUGACUUUGGUUAUUACUUAUUAGAAUGUAGUUCACAACAAAAGAAAUGCAAUCAUCCUUUGCUUCAAAAUUGAUGUUUUUUACUGCAAGGACAAAAUGUUGGUACAGUGAAAAUUCACGGUCAGGUACUGUUGCCCAAGAAAUUCAUCCUUCAAUUUGAGUAUAAUAUUAUAUUUUCACAGAAAAAUCAUUGUUCUGCAAAAAAAUGAACUGUCAAGCACUGUUUUCCUAAGAUAAUUGUCCAUCUGACUUAAUAUGUUUAACAAUACAAACUGUUGGUGCUGCUAAAAUGCACCAGCAAGUAACCCUGUCCUAAGUCUCUGAAUUUUCUACCUUAAUUAUUUGAGAUGUGGUCAGAUGAACUCUGAGCAAAGGGUCCUUGUAUUCUGAUUUAAUGUGCCUCGUAUUCUCACCAAAUCUGCAAAUCAUCUAGAAACUUCGAGCAUGUUCGCUAAGUCUACAGUCUGUUUUAGUCAUGUCCUGGAUAUAGGUAAGUAAAUCUUUAGGGCUACAUUAUUCUACAAAUUUUGUGUACUAUGUAGUCGCUUUUCCUGAUUUUAGUGAUUCAUGAUUUUUAAGAGAGUCAAAGCUUUGGGCAAGGAUGGUUUUUUCUUUUCCUUAUUCAUGCUUUAGUUCAUUAAACACCCUAGAUAUGAAGGAUGAAUUUAAUUUGCAACUGAAAAGAUAAAGUAACACAUAAUUCAAAUAAUGAUUAUUCUUCAUGUAAAAUUUUGUAAGAGCUGUUAAAACUUCUUAAUGUUUAAUACGCUAAAGGUGGGCCCCACAAGCAUUUCAGUUUCUUGUCACUAUAACAGAAUUUAAGCAAAUCAUCUCAUAGAAUAGCAAAAGAAAACAUAACGAUUUUUAAUAAACCAUUUAACUGCGUAAAAAAGAGUCAGUUGUUUGUCCUAAACAUGUUACUGUUCAAAAAAUAGUAAAAGUUUCAUAGCUGUCCAAUUUCUAUACAAAUCAAGUAAUUCAUAGUACAGAUUCUACAAGCAUGGGAUCCAUGCAUCAGCAUGUCCAUUCUGCUUCCAAUCACCCAUUUAUUCGUGAUAUAAGGAAAUAUUGAAAAGGUCUCUUAUCUAAUUUGCUGUCUGAUUCCAAAGUAAAUCACCAGAAAUCAGGAAACAAUUAUAAAUUAGCAGAAAUUUCUAAACGAAAUUGCUCUUUAGUAUUGCCACCACUGAAAUUGCUCUUUAGUAUUUCUACCACCUAAUCAUGAAAAAACUCAGCAAAGAGAGAAGAUCAUAUAGAAGAAAAGGCUCCGCCAAAAUUUCUGAACUAAAUGAACAACAUUAUAUUUUCAAAGUCUUUGAAGAACACAUCAAAUUCAAUAGAUUUCACCAAAAAAGAAAAUACGAUACAGCAAGAAAAUUGCAAGAAUCUCAAUCUGCUUUUGCAAUAACAUGACCACAAGUUCCAAAUCUCCUAGAACCAUCUCAAGCAUGGUCCAACAAAAAAUUUAUAAUGUGGGAUUAUAUUUUUUACAUGAGUUCUUUGAAUUCUUUCUCAUCUUUAGGCAUCCAUCAUAUUGAUCUAACAUGGAACAUUGUGAUAAAAAGUGUAUGAUAUGGCAUCAUAGGUACCAUCUCACUAAUCAAAUGCUUAAGGCAAGGUAUGCUGAACCGACUGGAACCGGUCAGUUCAUCCUGAACAGCAUAAAAAAACGGUUCAAACCCAAACUAGGUCGGAACCGAUUGGUUCCAUACUUGUAUCGGUGCAAACCGGGCCGAUUCACACCGGCCCAAACGCAUUUUCCUCAUGCGCGGAGUGAUUUUUUUUGGCAUUUAAUGCGCGGAGUGAUUUUUUUUGGGAAUCGCGCACGGACGCGCGUGCGGAGAAUGCACGCCCGUGUGCGAUUCCCCGCGCAGGAACCACGCCCACGGCCGAUUCUCCAGCAGAGAAUCGCGCCCGCGCGCGGUUCCCCGCGUGGGUGUGCUUGCGCGGGGCAGCGCGCCCACGCGGGCAGCCCGCGUGGGCCAUUAAAUGCCACAUAGUGACAUUUAACCCGUCCACGCGCGUCCGCAGAUACACGCGAAUGCAUUGGUUUUUUUAUUCUUUUUCCUUUUUUUUUUUGACGUCCACACGCACGCGGCCGCAGACGCUUGCGUCUCCGAUUCGGUACUGUGCCGGUACCGGUGCUCACCGGUACAUCGGUACGGUCGGUCCGGCGAACCUUGGACUUUAAGGUAAUGUUUUCAAUGGAGAACAUGAUCAUACACAAGGUUGGUCGUUUCAGUACCAGACUUUGUACCGGUACCAUCCUAGUAGUGUCAGGACACUCGAUAUGGGGGUUAGUUAUGCAUACUGACACUCGAUAUAUAGUUGUGCUAGUAAAACUAGGAACAUUCACUGUACAAUUUUAGCAUUUCAACUACUGUUGAAAGCAAGUUAUCAAUACCAAGAGUACAGUUAAGUGAUUUUUGAAUAUCUCCUGCACAAUUAAUUGAAAUUCUGAAACAUAUUUAGGAGUCUAGUCUCUGUUAUCAAUGUAGAUGGAGUACACAAACUUUUAAAUGUACAUGUUAAAGAUGUCCUCUACUGUAGGUUCCUCAAUCAUAUGCACCUUCCAGGAUGCCAAUUGUCAUAGUAAAACUCAGGGUAAUUAGUAUACAUACUAAGCACUGGAGGGGUCCAACUCCCCUAAAGGCUCAGGCUGUUGCUCAUCGAUGCUAACUUUUUCUCCUAUAACUACUUACUAGUUACUAGUUACUGCUUUGACUAAUCAGAGAGCAAGGAAAUAGAUGAAAAAAAUGCUCAACUCACAGAUAGUAUACAUUAAGAACAUAGCAAUACAUUGAAGCAAUCAUUAUUUUUUAAUCCAAUGAUAUCACUCCAGAAUCAAAAAUAAUAAGACCUCCAAAAUACUUAUAAUGAAUUUGGACCAAGACUUCACAGACAAUAAAGAAAAAUAUAAAACAACCUUUUAGGACCUUUUUAUAAAGAGGAUACAGAGCAACAAGAAUUAAUCUCGCAAUAAGGUUUGCCAGUGCUUUGCAAUAUGAUCUGUCAUCAGGUCAAACAUCAAAAUAAUUGCAAAUCUUAGAAUGACAUAUCAGUCCAAGAUGCUGCAUGCAGUAGAUAGUAGAUUGUGGCAAUUUCUCAGUUAGAUUUCAAAAAAAUGAAAACCUUAAACGAGAAGUCAAGUGAAAAUAUAAUCAGAAAUAUCAGUUCUGCUAACAUUUUCUGAAAUUACAGCAGCUAAAUCUCUAAUAGAAAGACCUAAAAAAAUUGCCAUGUUCGAGAUACAUUCAUCCAAGAAAAAGUAAUUCCACAUCUGAGUGGCAGUACCAGUUGGCUUCUUGACUUCUUGGAGAUAUAACAGGCUUCUUCAACUUUUAUCAAGUAACUUGAUGUUCAUUGAAAUACUGCAAAUCCAAUUUUUAUACUGAAAUAUAUAAUUGGUCAUUUUCCACUUCAGUAAUACUAGUUAUAAUGCAAGUGUUUAUGCACAUUAUGUUAAUAAUUAAUGACUUGACAUAUGUUCUAUAAAACUAAAUUAUUUUAAUUCUAAUACCUUGUAGUCAAAUCAAAUAUCAUUUUGCCUAUAUGAGUUUGGGUUUAAUAAUAAUGGAAGAUAUACUAAUUGCAAAUUUCUUCUUGGAACUUCAAUAAUUUUUUUGUCCAUCAGACAGAAAUGCCCCCUCCCAUACUUGCACAGUUCUAUAAUAGAACUUGCACAAGUAUUGAAAAUCAAUUCCACAAUGUGAACAAGGUAAUAUUAUAAAAAAAAUUUGCAAAAAUUCUGAACAUUGUUUCCACAAAUUUUAAAUGUAAGUUGAAGAAAUUCUGUUUGUACUGCAUAAACCGGCUAAAGCCAUGGGCAGGUAUAGCAGCACAUCAGGGGCACAAAUUCCCUUUGGUAGCAUAAAAUCAUAGAAGGUUGCAUAAAGAAAAACAAGAGUAUCGACAUUGCAAGUAGUAAUAUCAUCUAUACUUUACAAAAUCUUGUAUUCUUUUGCAAAAUCCCCCUCGAGCUCUUCAGGUAAAAUCUAGUUAGAAUUAAUGUUGUUAUCGAAGGGCAAUAGUGAGAUUAAAAAUGAGAGGGGGUUUGGGUUUUGAGGGGUUUCAGGUCUCAAAGAGGAAAGACAGCACAAGGGAGUCAAUGGCUAUGGUAGUGGGCCAGGGGCAGUUCUUUUAUGAAUUGGGCUAGACUCUGCCUUCUGUUUCAAAUCUAAAAAUCUAAAGCUGACAAGAGAUAAAGAGAGAUUGUGGGUUUUCAUUAAGAAAUAAGAUAUAAAUUAAUUGACGUUGCUCAGCAGAUGGUUGACCACAUAACUAGAAACUCUAGGGACAUAAGAGUAAGAACAAUAUGAGAUGUCGAAGCCAACAAAUCUUUGAUUCAGAAAUGAUAUUUUCUAACAGAAAUCCACUUCCACCAUUUCUUACAUUUAAGGAAGCAUCUUGUUUGAAAUUGCAUGCUAAAAAGCUUAAAUCCCUCAAAGAUGCACCGCAAAUUCUCUCCAUUUCCGUAAUAGGGCUUUCUUAACUUCAUCUUCUAGCGUGUCCAAGCACAACAAAAGAGAUAUUUCUCUUUUUUCUCAUGCUUUAUAUAAAAUAAUAAAAAAGAACCAGUAUGUCUGAAACUACACCAAGACCAAAAGAACAUAUAUUGAAAUGCAGUCUAGAGAAACAGAACAUGCAAUUUGUUUUUAUGGAUAUAAACAAGGUGAAAUAAGGAGCUAAAAAGCUAUCCAAUGAAUUAGCAACUAUAAUGAUAUAUCUAACCUGCUUGGCGUACAAGGAAAGCAACAAAUUGUGCACUCCAGGAUCCUCAUUAUGCAAAUGACGGACACAGAAUUCCAAAUACUUGAUGACUUCAUGUGUUUCAUUCCUGCAUCCAGUAAAUUGUUAUUUAGAACCAUAGCAACAAAUAAUUUCAAGGAAAGUUAGUUUACAAAAUCAAGUAUAGAAGAAUAAAGCUUUCAGGUUUGCAACUUUUGAAAGAGGAAAAUGGAGGAAGCACCUCCCUUUGUGUCUGUAGUGGUGCAACAAUCGUAUAAGUCUUUUUACAUAUUAUGUGGUACAGAAUCUUGGCUUAAGCUUACCAACAACAAUAUGAGGCUUCCAUGAUUUUGAAAACAAAGCAAAUGAUGGAGUGCUUUAGGCCUCUUAAACCUCUGUAUGUGUGUGUGUGUUUUUCUUUGAUCAAAAAAAGAAUGUUAAAUAGCUAAGCCAUCUUCAGGUUUUGUAAUAUAAGAAUAGUUCAGAGUUCAGACGAUAUUAGUAACUGACAGGUGACAAAAUUCAACUUGGGCAGCCAAAAUUGACAAGAUUCUUUCUUACCCUUUUUAUGUCAAUUUGAGAUUUCAAAACAUCAAUUUUUGGCAUAGAGACCAUAGACAAUAUCAAAGGCACCCUAAAGCAAGUUUCACACUUCAUUUCUGAAGUAGCAAACUAAAGAGAAAUCUUUUUCUGCAUUUUGGGAUACCUCAACAUUUAAUUUCAAAAAACUAUCGACAAUUUUCAACCUUGAAGGUUCAAAUAUCAAUUAGACCACAAAAAUAACAAAAAAAAAUGCUUAUUCCUAAUUUUUCUUCCGAAAAUUAUCAAAGAAUCAACAAGUAACAACGGCAAAUAUGAAAUUUUGAAAAGUAACCAGAAAUUACUAUAAAUAAUCUGUAAUAUUCUGAACACAUCCUUCAUUGAACUCUACCAUUCACCCAGAAGAUCCCACUAUUCAACUUUUUCCUCUAUUCUCAACUUUUAGAUUCCAAUGUUUGCCUAAGUUCAUGCAAAAUUGUUAUAAAGUGAAAUUAACAAAAUUACCCUUGUCACGUUAAUUUCUGUAAUUUGAUUUUCUGGCUUGGUUAUUUGGAGGUAGGCAUGGAUUAAAAUAUGAAAACACAACAAAUGUAGCUUUGCUAAAUGAAGACCGAUUAGAUUCACAAGAUGAUGCAACAUAGACGGUAGUAGUUACUCAACAGAAUGUCUAAGUACAAGGGACCACACAAAAUCAUUGGCAGAGAAAAAGCUUUGAUCUACAUGUUAUGUAAGAGAACUAGAGAGAUCUCUAAGUCUAAGAGGCCUUAAACUAAACUCUUGUUCAAAGACAAGCUAGAUUAUAGGGAAUCUAUAUUAUUCAAGGGUUGAAGACCCAGUCCAUCCUAACCAUCCCCCAUCAUAGUAGAGAGAGAGAGAGAAUACCAAGAUAGGGGCAAUACCCUAGGUAUCUCCAAACUAGGCCAUCCCAAUCUGUCCUGGUCCGUCCUCACCACGGAUAGAUUGGGACUGAUGUGUCCCAACAACUGGAAUGGCCUGGCAACUUGUUUUUCACUAGGAUGCCCUUUUUUUCUCUCUUCUUUCUUGUUUUUAAUGGAUGUUUAGAGGCUUUCUUGUUUUUUAUUUAAAUUCAUGAUCAUUUACCUCAUGAUAUGAUUGACUAUUGAUGUUUCAUUUAAAUUUAUUGUUAUUUUUAAAAAUACUUUUUUCCAAUCCAAUGGUACUAGUACCGAUAUAGGCACCAUAGACCCAAUCACUGGCUCAAAAGACCUAACCUAAAUUCUAAAUUUUGACAAACUCUAAAAACCUCUAAACGAUUAAAAAAUAAAAAAAGGACAUCGAAAUGAAUCACUUAGAUGCAACCUUUUCCAAGUGUUAGAAUAGGAGCAUCUUGGUAGUGUGUGGCCUGGCCCUAGAACAAUACUCGUCCCUAUAUCAAGACUUAAACCCUUAUUAUUAUUACUACUACUUAUCACACAGCCCAAGGUAAAAGAGAGAAUCAAGCAGAUCAUCAAAGGGUCUCAAGUCUCAACUGUCUUCUAAAGCAUGUUGAAUGUCUAAAACCAAGCUCUCAAACAAUACCUCAUCAAGAGAUCUUAGUAUCGCACAAACUAUGUUCACAACGGAAGAAGUUGAUCAUUCAAGAAUUCGAUAGUCUAUUAUGCGCAUAACCUUGCUUGGUUGCAUAUAUAAGGACAUCAUGGUUCGUCGUACUGGCCCGAACCAGGCAAUACGGAGCAUACCGUACCAUACUGAUACUGUGCUAGUAUGGUACCGGUAUGGAAUCUGGUACCGAGACAGCGAACCUUAAAGGACAUACAAUGGAUAAAGCCUAAUAGCACUCUAGACUAUUGAUAUCUAUAAGCCAAAUUCUAAACAAUCAAAUGUAUCAAGCCUUAAUUAAAAUAUUCAAAUAGAUAAAAAAACUACAUUAUUUCUUAUACAAGUCAAUAUCUAGACAUAAUACUAAGGUACAUCGUCUCGUUACUGGGCCCUGUGCCAGUGCCACCUGAUCAAUAUGUCGGUACUGGUACGGGAGCCUAUUUGGCGUACUGACUGUUGGUACGCCUCCCGUACCAUGUAUCGGCACCGAACUGGUACGGUACGUCCUGUACUAGCAUACCAUACAUAAUACAAUACUAUGCAUCUAGCAAGGCAAUAAAUCUUUAUUCUACCAGAAAUUACACUUCAAUAAACAGACCCAUUUACUAACCUAGGAACAUUUUCUUGAGUAAUUUGGGAAUCCCUGAAUAACUCCAAAUUAUCAAGAAAGCUCAAACGUACUUGGGAAAGAAGGAAAGCAAAAUUUUAAGCCAAGAUGUCUUAAUACGGAUCAUGUUAUGCAAAAGACUUGUAAACAAUGCAAUGCCACUAUCAGAUCAUUUAGUUUAAAAUUUCAGCCCUAAAUCGCCCUUCAUUUUCUGCCUUCCCUCAACCUAACAAUAUUAUUUUGUUGUCUCCUUACUAUUCAAUGUAUCGAAUUUUCCUUUAAUUCUCAGCCAUCACUAACCUGACUUAAUCAGAUUGAAAUGGACAGUUUAUUUUUACUAGAGUAAAUUCCAUUGCUGGCUUUUGUAGUCAAGACAUAAAUGACUAUGGUCAAAGGUGUGUUACAAGGAUUACGAGUAUCAAAUGUACUAAACAUGGACAAGUGCAAAUACCCUUUGUAUGCCCUAGACCCAGCAAUGACUGCAUCUACCAAACCAUGUCACUCCGAACUGGCCCUAUCACCCCAUUCAAACUGUGAACUAACGGUUUACAGACCUGCAUUGUUCAUUUGAUCCAGCUGUGCUGCACUGUAUUCUGAUCAUGGUAUGUUGAACCGGCCGUACCGGCUAGUUCAGCACGUACCAGACCGGUUCAAUAUGGUGGUGGAAAACGGUUCUAACCCAUAAGGGCCGGAACCGAGCGGUAUGCCUUCAAUGACCACAACGCGCGCGAACCAGUGGUACCGAUUCGGGCCGUACCAGUACACCUACCGAUACUGGUUCGCAGACAUUGAUCUUGAUACAUAUAAUACUGGUAAGUGAGAGGUGCACAUCCAUACCUUAAUUUUUAAAUCCUUGGUUUGUUAUCUAUGCUUUUCAACCUUUCACAUAAAUUAAAAUACUUUCUCUCAGUCCCUGUAACACCUUAUUACUUAGAAUGUCUUCUUAACUGGAUAAAUAUGAUUCACCCUCGUUAACAUUGCCAGCUGAAACUAAAUUUUCUUGCUAAUGAUGGACUAAACCACUGAUGUUGGUCAUAAGUCCAGAUGAAAGAGGCGGUGGUUGACAGUAGAUUGAUAGCCACUCGUUAAAAAGCACACUAAACUACGAAGAUUCAACUUAAGCCAGACCCAAAUAGUUGGAACAAGGCUUGAUGUUUAUGGUUACGUUUAAGAUGGACUUCUCUGGAAAUCCUGGUUUCACAGAUGCCUAGUCUGCUAAAUAUAUAACUCUUUCUAACAUUUUUGAGGAGUGUAAAUAUACAACUCUUUCAAACUUCACAUGUUUUAGCAGUUAGCACAUUUUUAUUCUCUUAUUAACCACAGUGGUGUUUGACUCAGUUGUCCAUGUAAGCAAUUAAAGAGAUCUCCAUCACUAGAAAUAUCUAUACAACUCUAACCACAGUCUGUGUUGAACUCUAAUCUCCUAUGCUCAUCCAAGGCAUUCAUCACCAACAUUCAAUUUUCAUGAUUAAAAAAUAUUGUACGAAGAGACUUCACUGUCGACAAUUCUUUAACCUAGAAUAAGUCAAGCAACAUUAGAAGGUGAGAGUGCAGGGCAACUAAUCCAAAUAGCAGCAAACUCAAUUGUGACAUUUUAAAAUAUCACAAGGUAUGUUGCACCUAAAAGGAACUAGAUGACCGCACAAACAUGUUAUACCGAGGAAUUGUAGAAGAAGAUUUGGCUUACAUGCAUCACUGGCCAAUGGCCAUGGCCAAAUCUGCAAAGAACUCUACAGCUAUAUGUAUAUGAUCAUGAGGGUUUAAAACAGCUGUUAUACCAAUAGUCACAUUAAAAGCCAAAACAUAACGAUGGAAAAAUACAUGCAGCCACAACAUGACCAUACUCAAACCAACAAAUUUGUGCAGCAGAUGUUCGGAAUUACAUAAAGAACUUAUUUAGCAUCUCUUAUCAGCAUCUUUAACAGAAGUGUGUCAACAGAAGAAGAACACUUCUAAUCAAUGGAAAAGAAAGGAUUAGCAUGCCCAGAAGCUGUCCAUGUGGAAAAUACAAUUGAUGUUUGAGCAAAGCAAGAUAAUAGUGAUAUCUACAUCUUUGAAAAUAAACAAGAGCUCAACAUAAACCAAUAUCAAGUAACAUAUCAAAUAAUUCACAAUCCAAGAACACCAGUAAAAUUAUGAAGCAAAAAAAUGAGAAGAUCGGACUAGUAAUACUUGGCAUGUGGUUCACUUGUAUAGCGCAUCAUUGCCGGUAUUAGUUUUCUUGGGUUAAGCUUGCUUGUAGCCAUCCAAGAUUCAACAGUCUCAUAAGCAUCAAGCAUUAUCAGAUCAGGAGCAAAUUUAUACUGCAAAAGACCAAAAGUUAUCCUUGCAGUAUUCAAAUAGUGCAGCAGUUGACUAAAAAUGAGACCAAGGUAUGCUAUAUCGGCCCAAACCGAGCGAUACAAAACGUACCAUACCGUACAUGUUCGGUACCUAUAUCCGGUACAGGUGGCGUACUGUACUAUACUAGUGUGACACCGGUACGGAAUCCGAUACCAAGACGGAAAACCUUGACUGAGACUAUAGCUUUUGUAGCUUGCCAAAACUUAAGAUAGUAUGUAAAAGAACGGUUUACAGCCUAGGUACCAGACCCCACAUGGUACUGUACCGAGUGUCAGUAUGGUCUUGGUGUUAAAACUCGGUAUUGGGGGCAACUGAGUCUCGGUACCCUAUAGGUACGUAAGGUAUGUGGCUUUGUGUCGUACCAGGUGGUACAGUCCCAUACCAAAAAAACAUUAAUAAAAGCAUAUAAUUUGAUUAAGUAUCUGGAUGCAGGUUGUCUAAGAAAAAAAAUUAAUGCUUCGUUUAUGAAUGGGAAAAUCAUUAAUACCUGAAGAUCUAUCGGGACAUUAGGUCUCUGAAGUACCUCCAAAGCUUUCUUUGUUUCUCCUUGCUAAAGCCACUCAAAAAAAAUGAACAUUAAUUUUUUACCAGAAAUAAAAGUCAUUCAUCAGUAAUCAUUCAUAUCAUAGUCCAAUUGUCAUAAUAACUCUAUCUAAAAUGACUUCUGCCUUAUAUCUGCCAUUUUGAAAUGAAGAGUAAACUUCCACUGAAAUGCAGACAUAGAAAAUUUUCUAGUAUAAAUUACUGAUACUUUUAGGAGUACAAACUAUACUGCCACUACAUUCAUGUGAAGAAAAAAUAAAUUAUAAUGAUUUUUUUUAACUUCUACGUGAAAUAAAAGUGAACUACAUUUAACUCCUAUUGGCAAGCAAGAAAUCGAAGAAUCACAUCAUGUGAGAUAAAAAAUAAAAAAAAACUUGAGAUGGAUGUAUAAUAUGAUUAGGUUUGAAUAACAAUAAUAUAAAUACGAAUGGCCCAAUUAAGCACAAAGUGAAGGAGAACCGGUUGUAUAGACAGAUGCAACAAAGAUCUUAAGAGGCUCUAGAAAGUCCUCAAAUUUGUGCAAAAGGUCAAAAAAUUAAAAAGACGAGAAGAGAUCCUAAGAUGUGAAAGUUGAGAAAAGAUUUAGAAAAGCUUUCAGUUGACAUUGGAUUGUUGAAUUUUUUUCUAAUAAUAGGUGACAAUAGAAUCCGAGGAACGUAUUAGCAAGCAAUCAAGAUCUUGGCACUAACUAAUAGAAUGUAAGCUCCCCUUAUUAAUCCCUAAUACAAUUCAUACAGCAGAUAUUGAUAAUUAACUCUUUUUCCCCUAAAAAGAUAUUUUUUUAUAUGGAAAAAACCAUACCUGAAUGUAAUGGUGAACCACAAUUUCAUAUUGCUCCUUUAGACCAGCAAAGUAGACUAGCUCAUCGACUCUACCAUAACUGCAAGAAUGUUGGAAGAGAUAAAAUAAAUUUUGUGCUUCAAUGUUAAAUUACCUAGUGUAACUUUAAAAAAUGCAUCACAGGCAAAGAUUGCUGAACAAUGAAAAUCAUCUAGGAGUCAUUAAAUUUAAAUUAUAUACAUCCCAAGUAAAUUGGCAUCCCAAAUGAAUUGUCACAUUAUGCUACUAACCAUCACAUACAUCUCUCCAAAUGCUAAUGAGAGGUGAAGCAACGUAACGCAAGGGUUGAAACUGUACUGUGGUAUGAUAUCCCUCGUACUGAGGCAUACCGAAACCGUACCACACUGUACCACAUACAGAGACAUAUGGAUAAACCAUGAGCAGAUACAGGGGGAUACUACUUUAUGUACAAUACCGAUACGUGAAUAGAAUGCCCUCUACCAUUGCAUUUCAAACCAUGACAUAGAGUAAAACAAAUGAAAUUAAAGAAAAUCCAUUACAAGCAAUGCAUAAACAAAGCCACCUAGACAAAUUGAGAAAGUAGAUUUUAAGGUUAAAGGAGUCACACUAGUUUGAAGAUAACAUACAAUAAAUUGCAUCCUUACAGUAGAAUCACGGUAUAAGAGAAGCGCUUGUCUAGAUUAAUCAAAAAGAAAAAAAUCCAUAUAUUCCUUGAGUCAACUUCCAGAAAUACAUUUAAAGUUGUUGACCCAGGUGUGAUUUAAAACUAAAAUCUAAACCAUAUCAUAUGCUUUAGUUUUCAGAUGUAUUUACCAUUUGAAAAUUAAUUUUUGAUGAAAAUGAAUCAUAUAUGUUCUAGCAUCUUUUCUUUCUAUGAAACAAGGAUAGAUGCAAAGUUAGCCAAACCGGUAGUAGGACCCAUGCUGGUUGGCUACCGGUUCAAUACGGGGUGAACCGGGUUGUUCAUCCCGGUUCAACAGGACCAUUUUCAAGCCUUUUUUUUUUGGGGGGGGGGGGGUUGAACCAAUUCAAAUUGGCGUGAAUCGAGCAGUUUGCACCGGUUAGUUCGGCCCGAUUUGGCAGACCAUAAACAGAUGAAUGUCGAAAAAUACCAACCCCCACAUGCUAUAUUUUGGAAAAUUCAUGGCAAAAUCACUAACAAUAACUAUAAAUUCUAAGAUAUCAAAGCAAUCCAUGCAUAAGAAUUGUUGUCAAUAUCAGAGUUGUGAGCCAUAAAAGAGUCAAGUUGGUCCCAAGCUGUAAGUCAGAUUACAAACCCUAAUUCUUUUCAAUUUCUUUAAAAAUAGGAUAAAAUAAAAAUAAAAAUUAAAUAAAAUUAAAAUGAAUUUAGAGUAUAAAUCAAAUAGAACAUACAAAGUAUUGUUUCCAACACCAUUAACCCCUAGCAUAUCCAAUAUAGCAAACACCAUGUUUACCUAUUCAAUCUAGUCAUAUAUCAAAAUACAAGUUUAUAAGAUAUCCUACUCAGAUGAAAAAUGAGAAAAAAUAUGAUGUAGGGUAACAACCGUAUAGCAAAGAACAAUAUAAGCAUUAUAUCAUCAUCAUCAUUAUAGGAAUGGAUCUAAAAGGUUCCUUUUUCCUUCCAUUUUCUUAAUGGGGAUUAAAAAAAUUCAUGCCCAUUCACUAAUUAACUUUUUAUUUUUAUACACAUUCUUAUGGUCUGUUUUUUUCCUCUCUCUAGGUUUUCUGUCUAAUGACAACCAAAUUGCUUUCCUUUCUCUUAGAAGUUGAAAAGCAUAAGUGCACAUUUCUUUUAUCAGAUUUUUUUACUGAUAAAAAAAGUCAUUUCAAGAGUUUGAAAUUUGUUUUUUUUAAAAAAAAGAUUGCUCGGAGAUGGAGUAAUAGUUGGUCUCAUAACUGAUAAAAGAAAUCAUUUUAAGAGUUGAAUUUUUUUUUACCACUUCGUUUCAUAUGUGAGAAAUAAUUAGAUCCAACUAACCACAAAAUUUGUGAAUUGUAUUAUACAAUCCAGUGUGAUCAGAAAAUAGGGAUUUAACCAAGGUACGCCAUCUCAGUAUCAGGCCCCGUACUGGUGCCAGUGUCGCUGCGUCGGUAUGCUUAGUAUGGAGGCCGGUUCGGCGUACCAAAUAUUGGUACGCCCCCGUACCAUAUACCAAUACUGAACUAGUACGGUACACUCCGUACCAUCUGGUUCGAUAUGAUAUGGCAUACCAUGGAUUUAACUAUAUUAUUUGGGGAUAUUUUGAUUCAAGUCAUGGAUCAUUUGCCCCUACCAACUGUGAUGAUAAAUUCCCUAACUUCCAAGGAAGCAUUAUUUCAGUACAAUGAAAUAAAAGUCAUACCACAAGGCAGUAACAUCGAUGUUUAGCCUGUUCAGAAAGUCAAAUCUGCACUUUUAGUGGUGAAAAGAAGUCAGCAGAGCAGUGCAUACGACAAUGCAAGGACUAGAACUGGGAGAAUGAUAUGUUUUGAGGAUAUAAAGCAACAUAGGGUAGUCCAAGCCACUAACAAACCCUUAACUGGUAUAUUCCAACUCUCAAGCUGCCCGACUUGAUAAAAACUAUUUUUCUCGUGUUAAGUUGUUGGAUGUCUCCCACCAGUUAGUACACGUUUCAAAUUCACCUUCCAAAGAAUAUCUCAAGAAUGGUACAUGGUUAGGAAAUCAAAUUUCAAAUAACUUGGAACAUUUUUUAUAUUAGCUAGUGUACAUAUUUAAUGACAAAUGGCAAACCUAAAUAGGUAAAUAUGGACUAUGGGAAGUGACAGCUUUCUUCAGACACUCGUCACUAAAAUAGGAUUGUUACAUUACAAGGAUGCAUCAUUAAUGUACUCCACGUCUAUGAUCCUAUGCUACCUAAUUUGAGCAUGCUCAUGGUCAUAUUCUAUCUACUUUGAGUGUGGUAUUGUAACCUCGAAUCAUCUCAAUGAUCCUUAUGAUGAUCCCUGAUAAAACACACUAAUAUUUUACAGACAAAUCCUUGAGUUUCCAAAUAAGAAACCCAAGCUACAAACUAGAAAGAGCUUUAAGCAUCUGCUAUGGCAUCUCAGUAACUGCACAUCUAAAGAUGUCAUUAAAAGAAAAGGAACUACCAAUACAAUGACCAAGCAGUAAGUUGUGGAAUUAGUAUAUAGAUAUGCCACAGUAACCACCACCAAAACCUGAUAAAAUCUGGUUCCAGAGUAAUCAAGAUACUGGCUUACCUCUCUAACAAUCUCAUUGUGGUUGCCUCAUCCAAUACAUCCUUCCAGUCACUAAGAAAAGCUCGGAAUUCCUUCACAAUAGACUGGUAUUCUGACCUAUUGGCUUCGGAUACUACAUUAGCAACCAUGCCCGUGUCAUCUUCCAAUAACAGACGAUUGAUCUGCAAAAACAGAACAAUAAAAAUAUUCGCAAAUACAACCCUAGUAUCAUUACUCAAUAUACAUUAUCAUUGAAGCAUAUAUUUUUCCCAUCACAUCGACAUCAUACAGACUAUAAAAAUCGUCUUGACUCACAACAUUUGGCCUCACAUAUAAUUGUUAAGAAAUCAAAAAAGAACAAAAGAAAGAAGAAAGUCAGAGAAUCUUCUCCUAUAUCGUUAGGCAAGUGAAAGCGAAUUUCAUAUAAUGAAAAUAAGAAAAUAAAGAGUCAUAUGUUUCUAUAAGUAGUCCCUAAUUCUUCCUUCACUUUAGGAGUUAUUUCAAGAUAAAAAUAACAAAAUGCAAGCCAACAAUUCACUCAUGUUUCGACCAUUUUCUGUAGAACUUCAUUGCAAUUAUCUUAGUUCAGCCAAAAACAAGAGAAAACACUCAAUUUUCUUUUAUUUCCUCUCCUUUUCUUCUCUUAAGUUUUCAUUAUUUUGUUUCAUUAUCUUGAGAACCAAAAAGAGCCCCAAUGAUUAGAGGUUUUCAGUUCUCUGGAUGACAUAAAUUCCAAGUGGUGCCAAGCCUGGUGGUUUACAUUUGCAACCUACUUUUAUAGAAGUCUUCAACCUGAUUGAACAAAUUAAGCAACAAGUCAGUUCAUAAGUUUUCAUUUCUUAAAAUGGUCUUCCGAAAGCCAACAUAAUACAAAAGAACAUAAGAAAAAUGGAGGAUUUGGAUAUGAACAAGUUAUUACAACUAAUUAAACCAGAUGAAACUAGCCUAAACAUCAGAUCAUCAAGCAGUAUGCUUGUUUCAACCAGUAUGAAAGUUCCGUCAGAAAAACAUAUUUCUUCCUCAUUAAACUCGGAUCUUUGCAACAGCCCUAUGAUAACUAAGUAAUAAUUCUUUGAAUUCCUUGUAUAUGAAAGUAGUAGUAUAGUUUACUAAAAAUUAUAUCAAGGAAAAUAGUAGCCAAAUACAGAUAAAUUUAUUAAUGAAAUUAAAUUUGUUACAAUGUUGUCAAGUGUUGAACAGUGAAUUGACAGCACACUGUUUCUUGCAUGGCCGAACCGGCCCGAAUCAGGCUGGUUUGGGCCAUAUUGAACCAAACCGGUGUGGAACCGGGUCGAUUUGGUUGUGAAGACCGGUUUGAAGCAGGAGGAGGAGGAGGAGGAGGAGGAGGAGGAGGAGAAGGCAAAGGAGAAGAAGAAGAAAAAGGAGGAGGAGAGAAAGCAGGAGAAGGAGAAGGAAGCAGCAGAAGAAGAAGUAGAAGGAGAAGAAGAAGAAGAAGAAGGAGAAGGAGAAGAAGAAGAGAAGAGAACUAGAACAAGGAGAAAGAAGGAGAAGAAGGAGAAGGAGAAGGAGAAGGAGAACUAGAACAAGGAGAAAGAAGGAGAAGAAGGAGAAGGAGAAGAAGAAGAAGAAGGAAGAGGAGAAGGAGAAGGAGAAGACAGUAGAUUUAUAUUUUUGUUCGAAUUACCAUCUCUUCUUAUUUUCAUUAUGGUGGAUUGCAAUAGAUUUACAUUUUUGGUCGAAUUACCAUCUUUCCAUAUUUUCUUUAUUGUGGAUUGCAAAACAUCCUUUGUCUCACCUUCAACACUGAUUUUUGUUCGAAUUACCAAAAGACAGUAGAUUUACAUUUUUCAAGAUGGUAUAACCAUGACAAAAAUCAUCAUUGCAUGGAUGCCCACAAGAUGAAGCCCAGAAAAAGAGGCAGCAAACCCAAAAAAUAAAUGAAAAGAAGAAAGAACACUUACUGGGAAAACAGGAAAAAAGAAAAAUAUAACCAAAGAAUAAUGAUCCAUAAGUUGCAAAACAUUGAUAAAAAAAAAAACCAACCUGCACUCAAACUUCAAUAACUAUUAAAAAAAACACUUCAUGAACUCAACUAAGCUGUCCAGAACCUACAAUAGCUUGUAUAUGGUACUAAUCAAGAUUCCACUCAUGAAACAAUGGUUCACCAAUAGACAAAUUAACGUACUUACAGCAUAGCCUAAGAGUCAAGUCAUACUUGUAAACACAUUCAACAAGAAAUAGGCAUGGCUAAGAAGUUCCAAUGGAAUGCAAUGAGAAUAGGAAGAUCAAGAGACAACAAACUCUAUGGAAUAGUCAAUAGGUAACACAAUGUGACUAAACUGUCCAGCAUCCAGGCAAAAUAGACUGUCUGUAUGGAAAAUUUGAUACCUAACAAAAUAAAACUAUUGAUACUCAUGCCUUCCUAUUGAAAAGAGGAAGGCAUGUCUAUCUAAUAGCAUGAAAACAUUACCUUCAAGAAUGACACAAGUAUUGGUUAAAAAAUUUCACAAAUAAUAACUAUAUAAUAAGAAUUGCAACUCAUAAUAAGUAUUGGUCAAACUCAUGAUCUUUAUAAUAAAGGAAGUCAAACACAUGAUAUUUAUGAUGGAGAUGUGAUAGUCAAUGACCAAGCAGUGGAUUGUAGUCAUAUACAAACUCUGCUCUUAAUAUGUGGUGACCAAGCUCAACAACUCUCCAUUUAUUUGAUUUCUCCGGCACAAAGAAUUUCUAGAUACCCUCAGAAAGGAAAUGCUAGCAAGAUGUAAAGCAUGGGCAGGGGUUUCAUUUCUUGCAAUAUAGGUUUGUGUACUGGUACCGUGCACCAUUCCGGUAACUUACCAGUAUGUUGUGGAUCAGCACGGUACACCCCUGCACCUACACAUAAUAUGAUGCUGGAGGUGAGACAGCAGCUGUACCAUAUCUCGGUAUAAUGCCAAACAAAGCUGCCGUACCAUACUGAUACCUUAUUGGCACGGAAAAGCUUGGUAUUGGCCAGCAUGGUUUGAUAUAGCAAACCUUGGUCAAGCAUGAAUAGAUAUUUUUCAAAAUCUUAGGAUGAGAACUAUGUCAUGCAGCAGGGCAGAUUAUGAUCUAGCAACUUGUAUAUUCUGCAUUGUGCAACAAACAUGAUGCCAUGCAAGAUAAUCAAGAAUAUGUUGUUGUUUUUUUUUUUGGUCUAAAGAUCAAGAACAUGUUGUUGAAAAGUGCAACCUUGUCCAAGUAUAGCUCAGUAGCCCAUGUGGAGAUCAUUGUAAUUUGGCACUUAUCUUCCUUUUUAGUACUAUAAAGACUAUCAAGUUUCCGUGUUAAGAAAGUCCUCAGAGCGUCCUGCAUAAAAGAGGAGCAUAUGAGAUAAGACAAUCUAGAUUACAUUUUGAGAAAAAAAGUAUUGCAAACAUGUGAAGCUUGUAUUCUCACAAAAUAGUGUAGAACUUCAAAUCUUUCAUGUAUUCGAUAGCAUAAUGGCACAUUUAGCAAGCCAAGCACUGAAGACUAGAUAAUGGAGUCCCAGGAAAGCUGAGAUAAAUUCACAGAACAAAGUAAUUGAUGCUUGAAUAGACAACUGUAUUAAUAAAUUGUAAGGGUGUGAAUAGCAGUAAAAAGUCUGAAAUAGUAUUCCAUCAGCUGGUAGGGACCUGUAUUAAUAAGAGCUUCACUAUAGUACCCAUCAAAUGCACUCACUGCACCAAACCCAUGCAGUCAACGACUGUACAAAUUUGACCAUUGGAACUAUAACAUCAACAAUAUUCCUGGCCAUAAUUCCAUUGGGUCGGCGAAGAUGACCAACAGCAAGCUUGAAAAUUGUAUUGAAAUUUCAUUCAAGACAUGACAGUUCACACUAACAAUCAAGGUAUGUCGAACCGGUACCGGUUGGCGUAUCGAUGGCCUACUAAACCGAUUCGGCUUGUUCGCCGGGCCCAUACCGAAACAGACCCAACUGGAGACGGAGAAGAUGAAGGCCUAGAGAGAGCGAGCGGAGGAGGGAGGGAGGAGAGGCCUCCGCUGCCUGCGGAGGGCGGCGGGAGGGCAGAAGAGCCCGCGGCUGCGGAAAAAAAUUUGAAUUUUUUUAAGUGUAGUCGGCAAAUCGAUUUGGAAAUUUUUAAUUUGAAAAUUUUUAAGUAAAGUCGGCAAGCGGUUGCCGACUUCACUUNNNNNNNNNNNNNNNNNNNNNNNNNNNNNNNNNNNNNNNNNNNNACCCCCACCCCCCGGGGGCCCUCCGCCGGCACCCCGCGGGCGGCAGAGGCCUCUCCUUCUCCCUCCCUCCCCCGCCCGCUCUCUCCUUCUCUUCUUCCUCGGCUCCGGCUGGGUUUGGCCAAUACGGGCCCUAUACCAUUUUUCAUGGCUGAACCGUACCGGUCAGGUACAUGCUGAACCGGCCGGUUCAGCAUACCAUACUAACAAUAUACAUACGAAUCCUACCCAAUAUGGCCUAAGGUGCCAGUUGGCAUGCAUGAUAUGAACCGUAUCCAUAGUUCCAGUGCCUUAGCAGCACAUGACAUAGCACUAGCUAUAUGCUAGUGCUUGUCAUGCAACCAUGUUAGUGCAUUCUAGACGCUUGCAUAGCAUGGCAUGGCAAACCACGGACAUACAACACCUCAAUGCACUAUACAUAUGUAUUUAUAGAUGUAUGCAUAUGCAUCUAUGUGAAUAUAUGCAUGUGUUUUAGGUGUGUAUAUAAUAUGUAGACAUGAGUUUUUCUAUCGAUAUGCAUAGAUAUGUCUAUAUACACAAACAUAUACCUACAUUUAUAUGCAUAUACACAUUCAAGAGAGAGAGAGAGAGGAGCUACUAUCCUUUUGGUCAAUUAAUAUAAAAGUUCAAUAAAUGCCACUUAGAUUGGAUGGUCUAUACAUUUGAAAUUUUUUCACAAAAGAAAUGUUCUAGGGUUGGAAACCAAGUGAUAAAGUAAUUAACUGAUUGACUAGAAAGUCUAGUAAACAGUAAUUAAUAAUUCUUGUGUAUUAUUAUUAUUAAUUUCUCCUAAAAAUAAUACCCAUGUAUCAAUGAGGUCUACUUCCAUUUUCAUCAAGCAAAUAGUCAUUAGAUGCUUAGUGACAUAUCCAUAUACUCUCAUCAAGAUGCUCUGAGUUAUAGCAAAGACAUUGACAUGUAAUUUUCAGCACAGUAAAUAGAAAGAAAAGAGAUGAAAUUCAAGAUAUCAAAUAAGAAAAAAUAGACAAGGAACUCAACUUCCUCCUCGGUCCUCAUCAUCCUUCAAUAUAUAAGCCAGUUUUUUUGGAUUCAACUAGAGAAAGAAUAAGAUUUGACUCGUUGUAGGAAAUGAAGAAUUCCUAAUAUUAUAAAUCUCAUAUAGACAGAGGGCCAACCAGAAUAGGCGCUUGAAAGUCUUUGAUAUUUGGAUGGAGUUCUAAACUUUGGGAGGGGUCUGGCUUUGCCUCGUUUGAAUUGUAUUUGUCGAUUCUGAAAGUAUAUGAAAAGAGCUCUAAAUCUUAAAGCUCUUGGGAUAUAUAGCCAUGUAGAGAAAGAGGCUAGUGGGACGUGGCGUUGGUGGGCAUGGAAGCAAACUCCAAUUUGUGGAUAAGCUAGAUAAAUCUUUUCUCGACUUUGCAUAAGAAUUUUAGAAGGGCAAGAACUCCAAAUGAAUGGUAUACAUAGGUAGUUGACACAAGGUUGGCUACCAGCCAAUAGAGGGACAAGAGCAUUAGACAUGAGGCCAUGGUGAUCAACCAAAAGGAGUGAUAGGGCAGCUGUGAAGCAUCACAUUUAUGAACCCUGGUCUUGGCAUCCAAGCGCUAGAGGAUUUCUCAAUGCGGGGGGGGGGGGGGGGGGGGGGGGACCCGACCCUGAGGGGCCCUUACCACUAUGUAGCUCCACCCCGACCAGUACUUCAACCCCUGAUUUGGUUCUAUGGCAACCCGAAAUCAAGAUGUGGAAGAAAUCAUGUAGAAAAGAAAGCAACGGGGGAAAGCAUCAGCACAAUACAUCCACAAGCACCAAGCAGAUUAAAAAUCCACAUGGAAAGAAGAACAUAAAAUGGUUGAUGGCAAGGUCUGAAAAACAAGAGUUGAGAACCAUACCGGUACACUAUUACUGGUUUGGUAUGGUACCAUUGGUGCAAUACAGUACACAUCCCUUACUGAGACAAGCUUCUAACACUUUUUCUCACUUCUGGACAUAGUAAUGUCCAAAACUAGGCAGUACGGAUCUGUACGAGGUGGUGCGGGGCGGUUCUGCUUGGUUCGGACCUGCACGAACCAAUUCACCUCAUAUACUAAACCAAAUCUCAAUAUAGAAUUGGUAUCUUACCAAUACGGUCCAUUACAGAUAGUAUGGGGUAGUAAGGUUUGAUGGCAAGAUCAUCUCCCCUCUAAUGAACUAAAUACAAUAAUCAAAAGUGAAAAACUCUAAAUGCAACAAAACCCAUGAUGUUUUGACUAGAGCCUUUCAAAUGCCAAUAGUAGCGCUUCUUAAAAACCAUUAUUUCACCACCAAAAAGUCCUUGUUGACAAAGAAUAGAAGUACAAAACCAAACUAGUCUCUCAACAAGAAACAAAUAUUGAACUUGUUUCCAUGACACAUUUUCUCUACAAAGCCCUCUUCUAGGAUAUGAGCUUGCCGGGAAUUCCCAUAACGUUCUUACCUAUCUCAGAAUUGAUGAAACCAUGGUUCAAGGCCAAAUGGUGUUACUAAUGGACUAACCCAUCUUCCAAGCACAAAUAACCAAAGGUGUUAGAUUUUUCUAACAUCUCUUUUCAGAUAAUUUGAAGGACCAUGAAGCAACAUACACAGGCCAUGAGGUAAAGAUUAAAAGCAAAGAAAAGAAAACAGUUUUGCACCAUAUGAUUGGAUGAUUAUGUUGAUCUAACUUCGCCAUUGGCUCCUAUCUAGGCCAAGUCGUUUGAAAAGUUUGCUCGAAGCAUCCCUCACUACCUAAACCAGACUUUCAGUCUCCAAUCUUUUCAACAAAUAAGUAUUCCAUAUACAGCCCAGAAUUUGGGGAGAGGUGUUGAAUAUGCAUGUACAUGCUUCCUUAGUUGAUAGGAACCUUAGCAUGAGAGCUUAUAGGUCCUAAGAUCAUAUUGAGGAAAAAUAGAUGAAGUUAUGCCCAUCAAAAAAUGCACGAAAUAUCAUAUCAAACUAUUCGACAAACCCGCAUGACAAAUUAAAAGAAAAAAAAAUCUAGGAACCAGAAUUGUACAUCUGAAUCCUAUAAAUUCUCUAGUCAUUUCUUGAUAUUGUAAAUGCAAAUAUUUUAUUGCUGCAUUUGCAAAUAUUUGUAAAUAUCUCUGAGACAAAUGUAUAUAUAUAUUACCUGCUCACCUAUAGCAAUAAACUUUAAGCUGAUCUCCUCAAAUGACACCAUAUAGUUUAUCUGUGAAAAAGAAAAUGACCUGUAAGUCAUCAUAUUUUUAUACUGAAAAACUGAGAUAAGUCAUUCAACCCCCGUCCCACAGAAUUGACUCCUCGUACAAGAAUCCUAUUUUAACUCCUCACAUAUCUCUCGUGAUGAUUUAUUCUUUUGUCUGAUUUUUGGUUAAAGGUGAUGAAAAUUACUACAGACCCUCAAUAGAAUCCUUGAAGCCCUAAGUGAGAAGCAAAAAAAAAAGUAUAAUGAAGAAAUAUAUAAAAGAGAAGUUGUACAAUCAUAACAUAACAGCCAGUUGAUAAGGUCACAAUGAUCAGAGGCAAAGACCAAGAUCUAGAACUCAAUAAUGUAAAAGAAUUCAGUUUUAUAUGAAUCUUUAUAUCAUCAAACAAAGCUACAGACAAAAACUAAAAUAUGCAAAAGAAGUCAAUAAUAUGUAAUCUAACAUAUCCUUAACCCUCUCGCAAUGGGGCCAUCCCCAUAACCCCUCAACAAAUUUCGUCAAUUUAAUCACAAAGUCACCAAAAAAAACUUGCAUAUAUGUGAUCAAUCGGCAACAGCAAGGGGAUAUAAUAAUUUUGCAAACUGGAAUACAAAGAAAAGAAUGAAUUGAGAAUUCAAAGUGGCGGAUGGAGUGAUAGUCAAUCUCCAAGACCAUAGUCCUCUCAUUAAAACAACUUUCUCAAAGCCUGAUAACUUCAAAUAACAGUGUUACAUAUUCACCAUAGCUUUUUUUUUUGGAAUGAAAUGGAGAGAAAUCCAUCUGAUUUUUUUUUUAAAAAAAAAAGUGGAAGGUUUUAUUCUUAAAUCAGCAAAAAUGUAAUUCACAGAAAGCAAUACUCUGUAUAUGAAAUAUUGCAAGUAUUCUUAAAACAACGGUUGCAUGUUUUUUAAUCCAAGAUAAUGGUUAAAUUUUUUAGUUGUACAUUAAAUAUGUAGAUAUCCAAAAGAAGUAAGCUAGCAUCAAAUAAAAUUAUAAUAUCUACUGGUUGUCCUAAACCAAAACUGAAAAUUGCUAAACCAUGGUUAUUAAAAGUUAACAGAGUUGCAAUAUAAUUCUCUCUCCUGGAUUUUGUGUUGGAUUGAGAGCACCUAGGACAUGGCAUAUAUGCAAGACAUGAUAAUUCAAUAGGUGCAAAUAGACCUCAGAUAAGUUACCAAAAGUUUAGACAUUGAUCUCAAAAGUCUGAAGACUCUGAACAAAGUCACUGUAAGUAAAAAUUACAAUUGAUGCAGUGGACCCUUGGAUUUGAACGAAGAUCGGCCAAUUGAGCCCCAUCCAACCAUCAAUGAUGGACUUUAUCGCUCGCCAUACCUUGGGGAGGUGAGGGGGGCAGGCAUGUUUGGGUGUUAUGGAGGUGAUUGAUUAUCCACUCGCCCCUUAGAUAAUGCAGGUUGGUUGCUCAUUGGCUAAUUCCAUCUCAGGGGAAAAAUAUACGAGAUCUGAUGCUUUGUCCCAUCCUUCGACAAAAAUGGUGAGUGGAAGGGAUCUUUAUUUCGUACGAAAGGUGGUUAAUCCGAUGAGUCAAUGCUCAAUGCGAUGCUGCUAACCGCUUGACGAUCCUACUUCUAAUGUCACCCUUGCCUCUCCCUCCCAGUGGAAUGUCCCAACUACACUGAGCUAAUCAAUAAAAGCAUGGCCACCAUAAGCCGUGCCCGGAUAGGUAACACAAGACAGUUAUUCCACUGAAUAGGUAGCAGGCAAAGGCAACUAGAACAUGUAGCAUAAAAUCGUAUUGACGGAAUGUAGAGUAGGACUAUCCAUAGAGCCAAAUAAAGUGGAGGGUACCUCGACCUGGGCUAGAUAAGUUGUGUCCAAGUAUAGCUCAGUAGCCCAUGUGGAGAUCAUUGUAAUUUGGCACUUAUCUUCCUUUUUAGUACUAUAAAGACUAUCAAGUUUCCGUGUUAAGAAAGUCCUCAGAGCGUCCUGCUCACCUAUAGCAAUAAACUUUAAGCUGAUCUCCUCAAAUGACACCAUAUAGUUUAUAUGAUCUAACGAAGCCCCUUGGGCUGCAAGAGUCAAGGUAGGGAGGGUGACUAUUGCUUUUCUUGCUUCUGAACCAUUGUCAGCGAGAUCUCUUUCUCGGUCGGAGGCAGUUGUUUGCCGGAUAUUACAAGGGGAAAGGAUACCGGAGUUCUGAUACUCUAAAGAUGUUUUACAUUAUGAUGAAAUAUGGGAUCCCCCAGCUUGACAAAGAAAACAAAAGGGAAAAGGCAAAAGAAUCAUGUUAAGCUUUAAAUGGUUGAAAGGACCCUAAUGUGUAUAUAAGCCAUUAAAAAAAGGGAAACAAAAGCAGAAAAGGACUUCCUAGAUAACAGCAGUUAAAGGUAAGAAGUUUUACCCUAAGUUAGAACCAAGAGCACAAGCAUUUUAAGACAGGAAGUAGAUGAAACUAAUUAUAUAAAUGCCUAGCUAAGUUGGAGUCAAACACAUUUGUUGAAAUAACAACUUCCAUAGCCUUAAUAUUUGUUCCAUACAUCAACCAAGCGCUACCAUCUGAUUCUAUCUAAAGAAUCUCCUUGAUUAUUUAAUACCAUUUAAUUCUUAGACAUCAGAUCCAUACAGUAAAGCUGAUGAACAAUGCUUUAGAUGACUUUAUCAAAUCUCAAAAGCGCGGAAUGAUAAACUCAUGGCUUUUAUAUUCUUUUAUCAACUCUGUGGCAUGCAGCAACCAUGCAACAGAAUAGAUAGUAGUGAUCAGCACCAGCAUGCUUGAUCUGUACUAGAAAUAUCAUCAUCCACCACCCUUUGAUUAUGUAGAAAAGGUACAGAAAAGAAAAAUUGAAACACUUAAAUCCAAAAAUCACUCAGAUUGAAUACAAAUAAUUAGGAGGCAAAUCAAGUCACUGAUUAAUAUAUCACAAAAAUAUGAAAAAAUGAUAUUAGAAAAUGAGGACUGACUCGUCCAUUGCAUGAAUCAGAGAUCUCACCUUUGCAUACAAGGAUGCUGCUCUCUCAAAAUCUUUUGCAGAAAAAGCAGCUUCAGCCUGCAUUGAGACUCAUCUAGUUACUUGCUACUGAAACACAUUAUAAAUCCAUAAAAAAGAGCAAAGUAAAUUUGGAAAUGUGAAAUAGGCUGAUUAUUGGAAAAAGAUAAAGAGUUGAGGUCAGUGUAAAAAAAAACUAAAAAAAAAUGAAACAGUUGCAAAACUAUUAGUUACCUGUACUAAAUAUACUUUGUCUUUCUGGAAUGGCUUAUCCUCAUCACAAUGAGCUAAAGCAGCUGCAUAUUCUUUCAUGUCUAGGUACACUUGCCACAUGUCCCGGCCCUCAUCAUUCACUGACACCUGAGAUAUGGUUGAUACCAGCAACAUGGUUAUUUUAGAGAGAACACAAGACCCAAAGAAAGAAUCAAGAUGGAAACUUACCUGGAAUAUCGAAUUUUCGUCAUAUGCAUAAAACAAUCCAGCAGUGGCAUCACUGCACAAACCAAUGAUUCCUUUUGAAGAUUCUGGUGCAUGAUCAAACUCAAGUUCCUCCACAAUUUGUUGACUGAUUCUGUUGACUACCUGUAAAAUAGGAGCUACAAAGCUUUUCUGAGGUUUUCUAAACUCGUUCUUUGAAUGAAAAAUAAUGUAAAUGCAUUUGAGGUAAAACCGCAGAUGAAGUUCACUGUGCGUAAAGAGGCUUACAUUCAAGGAGUAUCUGCACAUAAGGGGAACUUAUGUAGACAUAGGUCACCAUAUAGUUUGGCAUCACAACAAGUGGGCAAUUUCUUACACAAAUUACCUUAAAUUUUCCUAUAAUAUUGUUCCAAAACAAUUUUACUUGAAGCUCACCAAUUUAUUCUAAUGUUCUUAGAGAACUGAUAGCAGAGUCAGGACUGGUCUUUCUCCAACCCAGUACAGUUUUGCCAUGACAGACCAAGAUAGACUAGGUCCUUAAUCCUUGCCUCGGAUUAAAUUAAUUUUCAUAAUAUUAAGCAAGAACCAAUCAUUUGGAAGCAAGCUGAGAAAUUGUUAUUUAAUGAGACUAAUUGAUAAUUACGAUAACACUGCCAUGGUCGAUUCCAAGCCCAGAGAAAAAGAUGGAUGGUCAAUGUUAGGUUGAUAGCCAAAUAGAGAAACUUGUCAAACUAUGAAAAAUGGAUCCAAAUUUGAUAUGCAUGAAUGUUAUUGCGUCCCCCGGUUUUAUGCAACAUGCCACAACUUAAUCUGAUUGUGGUAAGAGUGGGAAAGGGAUGGCUAGGUCAUUGCCUGCAAGCGGUGUGCCGCAAUGUAACCCAGUUGUAGUGACAAAUAAGCAAGGAUUAGCUAGGUCAUCGCUCAUAAGCAAAUGCCACAAUGUAACCUGAUUACAGUGACACAUAAGCAAGAGUUGCUUCGGUUCGAGGUGUUUUCUAGAAGUAAUGUGGCACAACGAGGUCUAACUGGAGUUGUAAGGAGACAAAAGAUAAAUCACAUCAAACAGAGGAAAAACAUGCAAAGAAAUUAAUCAUUAAAAAGGAGAAUUAGAUAUGCUACUUGGAAUAUAAUAACUUUGACUGGAAAUAGCAAGGAACAGGUGGAUAAGGUGCGUACAAGAAUCAAAAUUGCUCAUAUACAUGAAACCAAACAGAAAGGUGGUAAGCCUAAGGAUAUUACAACUUAUGAAGGUUAUAAACUUUAGAACUAGGAAGAGCAGAUCCUGGAAAAUAGAUGCCAUGGCAGUAUUCAAUAUGUAUCAGAUACAUAUAGACAUCCGUAUCCAAAAAUUACCUAUUAUAGAACUACUACAUAAAAGGACAUUGAGUUAUAAUACAGAGAAUUCAAGAUGCAAACCAUCAAACAUCCACAUUAUGCAUUUCCUCUUAUAGUGCUUAAAUAGAGUUUUUUGGAAUAGGAUUUCAAGAGGACUAAAAAUCCAUAACUUGGAGACGAUAGAAUUAUCUACACAAAAUUAUAAAAGAUGAGGAUGGAAACUAAUCUGAUAGAAUAUGUUUGUUGAACGCAAUAAAAAAAAGGUAGGACAUUUAUUGUAGAGGUAAAAGGAAAAUAGUGGAUUGACUUGGGAGAAAUAUACUACAUAAGGUGUGAGAUCGCUUAAAGAAAAUGCAGCUACUUCAAACUCUGAUUUGACAAGACUAUGUUAAAGGUUUCUGAUGGUAAACUCAAAUGAAGGAAGAAUCAAGAUCAAUCACCAAGACAAAGACGCUCAAUCUCUUCUGCAUGAGGACAGAUUGCCAAGUAUUCCACCUAUGAAGCCAAGAAUCUUGACAAUGAAUCAAACUCUCAAAUUAGUAAAAUGCCAGAAGCAGUUUGGAAGGUACCAUAGAAUAUCAAGACUGUGAACCAAUUAUUAGCAUUUCCAACUUCGUGCAUUUAAGAUAAUCUUAGGAAGGCUAACCACGUUUCUGACCGAUAAGCAAAUCAAGUGUCUUCCUUAAUAAGCUCCUUGAAAGUACUUGCCCACCUCAUAUGUCAUACAAUUUUCCUGCUGAGCUGAGGUACUGGAUAGGAGCCAAUAUACAUAUCAACUUUCUUCAGAGAGUAGAUAAAAAAAUUUCUGUUAAGCUACUAAAGAAAAAGUGGCUUCUGACAGGAAUAUGAAACAGGUCAUGGAGACUAUUAAUCAGUUAAUGAAUAAAAAGUUAUCAGCAAAUGCCUUGUAUCACAAAAAUGGCAAUUAGCAUGUGAAUCCUAUUGAAUGAUACAAGGAUCCAUAGUUCCAUACCUUAACCUCAUUACCGAUUAGAAGCAAAAAAUGGAAUUCAGAAACCGCAAAAGAUUUUGGCUUAAUAGCAUCACCACUUUCACCCAACUUUGAAUAGUCUAAGAGGCCCUUGUUUUCCACAAAGUUUUCAUCUCCACUGGUUGAACUACUCAACAAAAGAUCCAGUAAGAUUAUGUCAACAUCUUGGACUGUCAGCAAAUAUUAAAACAAUGUGAAUCCAAAGGAAAAUGGUAUACAAUGUAUGAUGCACAAAAUUGGCCUUUUCAUGCCAAAUGCAGAAUACAUGCCAUUGAAAAUAUUAAUACAAAUAACUAAUUUCAAUAUAUAAAGAACAAAAAACACAAAGAAUGAUUCACCUGUGUUGUGCUCCAAAAUUUAAGUCACCGUGAUAAAUUCCGGCCCCAGAAAGCCAAGCAAAGUGUUUGGCCCUUCUUUGCUUGAUAAAGAAAUGUAGUUCACUGCAAAUCAGCAAAGAAAAAACAAUGUCUUCUCCAGUUAGUUGAUAACAACUUCACUUAUGCGGAAAAGAAAAUUUGAUUCAGGUUUCUUUAAUAAUAUAUUAAGGUGAGAACAGGAAUAGCAAAAACAAUGUGUAGAAACAUAUAAAAUUAUCCCCACCAAAGUCAAGGUUUAUCCAAAGAGGAAAGGAUAGAUUUGACAUCCUGAUAAUAUCACAGCUAUGGUUUCAAAACACAUACUCUUUUCCUUUCUACAAAAGACCCACCAAAAGCAUGUGACUAAUGAAGGUUUAAUAUUUUAAUUUCAAAUCCCAAUUAAAUAGCCUACAGUCCGAAAAUUUUCAAAAGGUUUUGGCUGAGGCUAGGAAGUAUCAACGAAAAUCAUUCCUCCAUUAAGGUAGACCAUUCUGAUCAGUUCCUGCUAAACGCUUCAGUUUUAAAGACUGCAGAAACCAAUUUGGUUAUAUAUGUAUAUAAAGAAAAAAAAACACAUCAGAAAUAGGGUGUUGCAGUAUCCUAUUUCAUACUCACACAUAAAAGAGCUAUAAAGUUCCAACUAGAGUUAAGCCAUGCACCAAACCCUUCUAUCUACUUUCUUCUACAAAGGACAAUAACAGCGUUGGCAACAAAUAGAAGUAGUUCCUCUCAAAAAACAAAUAGAAGUUUGUCCCCUAAGUCCUAUCUCUCGAGUAACAAAUUUCAAAAAAUUUGUAAGGGAACUUGAAAAUGAGUCACAUCUCAACUAUUAUUUCAAUGUACAGCAUGGCAGGAGAACACUCUUCUCCAUCUAACCUCCAAAAAAAAUACACCUACCAGUUAUUAAACAGGCUACUCUCUUUAGGUUAUCACAGGCCGCUUCCACAAGAGCAAUCAAACAAAAACAAAUAUUUGAAGGUGCAUCAUGUAAUGCACAUUGAGGUGCCUAUAGCCUGCAAGCACGGUCCAGGCUCAAACUUAUAUGUUCAAAGGCACUACCAUGCCAAGUUUGAUGAAUGUAAGUGGGAGUAACCGUAUAUCGUAUACCGUAUACUGUGUACCAUGUACCAUGUACCGUAUACCCAAUACUUUGCAUUGUAUACCCUUUACUGUAUAUCGUAAAUCCUAUACCGUAAACCCUAUACCGCAUACUGCAUACCUCAUACCAUAUAGCUACGGUAUAUGGUAUAUGGUAUAAGGUAUACCAUAGCUAAAGGGUAUACGGUACACGGUAUAUGGUAUGCAGUAUACGGUAUAGGAUACACAGUACACGAUAAUAUGAAAUACGGUAUACGGUAUAGGGUUAUAUGGUAUACGGUCACUCCCACCUACUCACAUUCAUAAAAUUGGGCAUCGUAGUGCCUUUGAACAUAUAUAAGUUGGAGCCUAGACAGUGGUUGUAUGUCUUAACCAGUUGAUAUGGGCCAAAGGUGGGCUUCAGCUUGGCUAUCAGUAGAUGGUUUGGCCAUAGCUCAGCCUAGUUCAACACGGUUUAAAACUUUCCAAUCUUACCAUUUCCCAUUUGAUUACUAGAUUGUUAUUUUUUUAAAUGACAGCAUGAGUACUUCAUGUUGGAAAGAAAAAUGACCAAUAUUUCUCUUUUUUAUCCUAUAACCUAUGGUUAUUACGUAGAUACAAAAGAACUUGCACAAUAGAAUGCAUAUCUAUAUAUAUUUGAGUUUAGUUUAGCCUCGAGCUCAUGGAUUGUUGGUUUGAACUUGGCCUACAUGUAGGUCGAGUGAGAUUUUCAAGCACAAGCUCAUCCAAGAUCAAUGACAAUUUGGCCCAACACAAGUAAAAUGCAUAUUGGAGGAAGGGGGACAAACAGGCUGUAGGUAGCUCAAUGUGCAUUACAUGAUGCAUCUUCAAAUUUUUGCCUUCAUUUGACUGCUCUUGUGGAGGCGGAGUGUGAUAAACUAAAUAGAGGAGCCUGGUUAAUAACUGGUAGACAUUUUUUUUUGGGUUAGAUGGAGAUGUGUGUUCUCCUGCCAUGUUGUACGUUGAAAUAACACUUGAGAAGCAACUCAUUUUCAAGCUCUUACAAAUUUUGCAAAAUUUGUCCAAAAUCAUUCCUCCAUUAAGGUAGACCAUUCUGAUUAGUUUCUGCUAAACCCUUCAGUUUUAAAGAUUGCAAAAACCAAUUUAGUUAUAUAUAUAUGUAUAUAGAGAAAGACAAAAAGAAGCACAUCAGAAAUAGGGUGUUGCAGUAUCCUAUUUCAAACUCACACAUAAAAGAGCUAAAAAGUUCCAACCAUAGUUAAACCAUGCACCAAACUCUUCUAUCUACUUUCUUCUACAAAGGACAAUAACAGCAUUGGCAACAAAUAGAAGUAGUUCCUCUCAAAAACAAAUAGAAGUUGUCCCCUAAGUCCUAUCUCCUAAGUAACAAAUUUUAAAAAAUUUGUAAGUGAACUUGAAAAUGAGUCCCAUCCCAAGUGUUAUUUUAAUGUACAGCAUGCAGAAAAACAUUCGUCUCCAUCUAACCCAAAAAAAAACACACCUACCAGUUAUUAAACAAGCUACUCUCUUUAGGUUAUCACAGGCCGCUUCCACAAGAGUAAUCACAUGAAGGCAAAAAUUUGAAGGUGCAUCAUGUAAUGCACAUUAAGCUGCCUAUAGCAUGCUUGUCCCCCCUCCCCCAACAUGCAUUUUACUUGUGCUAGACCAAAUUGUCAUUGAGCUUGGGAGAUCUUGGGCUUGAAAAUCUCACCCGACCUAAAUGUAGGCCAAGCUCAAACCAACAAUCCAUGAGCUCGAGGCUAAAUUAAACUCAAAUAUAUAUAGGUAUGCAUUCUAUUGUGCAAGUUCUUUUGUAUCUACAUAAUAACCAUAGGAUUAUAGCAUGAAAAAUGAGAAAUAUUGGUCAUUCUUCUUCCCAACAUGUUGUACCCAUAUUGUCAUUUAAAAAAAAACAAUCCAAUAAUCAAAUGGGCAAUGGUAAGAUUGUAAAGUUUUAAACCAUUUUGAACUAGACUGAGCUAUGGCCAAGCCAUCUAGUGAUAGACAAGCUUAAGACUACUUCUGGCCCAUACCAAUCAACCAAAUAUGCAACCACGGUUCAAGCUCCAACUUAUAUAUGUUCAAAGGCACUACUAUGCCAAAGUUUAAUGAAUGUGAGCAAGUGGGAGUAACCAUAUACCGUAUACCGUAUACCGUAUACCGUAAUACCAUAAACCCUAUACCGUAUACCGUAUACCCUAAAUCCUAAAAGCCCUAAACACCCUAGAUACCCCCUAAAACCCUAUAAACCCUAAAUCCUAAAGCCUAAACCCUAAAACCCUAAAACAUUAAACCCUAAAAAUCCUAAACCCUAAAUCCUAAAAACCCUAAGCCCUAUAUCCCUAUUUAGGACACCACAAGCAAGAAACUAUAUAUUGAUAACUAGCCAUAAAAAAGCAUAUAUCUAGAAGACUAGAACAUCUUGUAGAUUCCAAAUUAAGAGAUGAUUAGCUAUUUCCAAUAAUCUUCGAGGAACAAUGAAGAGAUUUCACAGCAACAUUUCUUCUUCGUCUAUGUUAUUCACUUUCAUAGAUUCAAAAGUCUGCUAGAAAAGUUGAUAACCUCUAAAUUAACUUCCUACUUUAGAAAACCUCUCUAGAUUCCAAAAUUAACCCAUUAUCAUUCUGAGAGCCGCAUAUCUCUCUGUUCUAAUGCCCACACUAGCAAACUGAAACUCUUUCUCCUUGGGCACACAGCCGUACACUGAUAAGCUACAGGAGCUAAUAGUAUUUUUCAGUGAUUCAUUAACAGCUAGGUGGCUGAUAGGAUUGUGUUCAUAGAAAGUAGGAUACAAUAAUAUGAUUUCCUACAGCAAUGAAUUUCAUGUUCCUGAAAUAGCCAACUAUUCUGAUUCAUGAUAGGGAGGGGGGGAAAAAGAAAAUAGCAAUAUAUGCUGAGUAACAUCCCUUUCUGUGCCCAUUCCUGUGAACUGUGGCUUUACCUCAAAAAUGCAGCCAGUUGAGCCAACUUUGUUGGACGACUGUAAGAACAAAGAGGCUAAGUAGGUUGCAACCUAACUUCCUAAGAUAAGACGUUGGAUAGGUCUCGUGGAUAAGAAAGGCAAGGAAAUGUAGUUUUCACCAAGCCGGAAUAUAUUAGUGAUUAUAUUAAAGCUAUCAUGCAUUAAUAAUCUAGAGGGGGAAUAUUUUAUGAUAAAUGAAUCGAAUUUAGAAAAAUAUAAGAAGGAAAAUUUAGAUAGAUUAGUUUGAAAAAAUGAAUAGUGCAGACUGGCUAAUGGAACAGAAAUAGAUUGUCAAUUGUUUUUGUCCUAUCAAUUCACAAUUCAACAUAUGAUAAUUGAACUAUGUAACUGGAUAUAUUAGCUAUCUUAACAGAAACUGCCUAUCCUUAAACCUCCCCUUGUAAAAGAAUGCAAUUGUUAAAAGCAUAGCUUCACCAAUAUCUUCUCCGUAUUAAAUGUUUAUAAGAAUUGAGUGAUGAUUUUGAUCCCAUUCUCUAAGUUAUGAACACAGGAAAUUGCACUUAUAAUAAAUGUAAAUAUUUUAUUUAAAAAAAUGGUUGAGUGGAUAUUCAUAUCUUAAGGUGAUAGAUCGCUCAAGAGAAGAAAGGUUGUCAUCCUUAUAUUAGACCUUUGAUUUAGAAAGGUUGUAUCAAGGAUCUUGAGGUGCAUAUAGUAAAUUCUUUUUAACCUAGUUUGCUACCAGUGUGCCUUCAUUAGGUUGAUCUCUUGACUCCCAAUUGAUCAUCUUGGUUUUGUAGUUAGACCCCCUUACAUAAAGUUGCCCUGGCCAGGAAUCCAACAAAUAGUGUCAACAUCUAAUUGAUAUUGGGUCAUAACAGCCCGCUAACACUUCAGAGCUUUCUCAGCUUAGCGUUUUGCUCCAUUGCUAAAACAUCUUGGCAGGGGCAAUGCUUGGAUGUCUAAAAAUUGACUAAAAACAUAUAACAAGAAAAGUAAGAAAACAAUAAUAAAGAUGGCUGAUUGAGAAAAGCUAAUAAAUGGGAUACCACCUCUAUAUUAUAAUGUGAACUUCUAAGGCAAGUCCACCUUGGUUUAUCUAUUGAAUUCAAACAUAUCCCCAUAUUUGGUAGGUAGGCUCCUCUUUGUUCACAUUUCUCUUGCUCUCUUUCUUUAGGAAGGGAAGAGAGAGAGAGAAACAGCAAAACAAAAGGCGAUAAUACAUUUAUUAAUUUAUAUGAAAAUUAGAAAAAAUUGAAUUGGACUGGAUCAUAUCAUUUCAUCCCAUGUGAAUCAAGCAUGUUGACUGCUCGUCUUGCUAAAGAGAACUUAUAGAACCAGCACUCAAUGAGUGACGAUUUUGGUGGCUUAACAUGGAUAAUAUCUCAGUUAUUGUCAAUGACAAACAUAUUCAGCUCUCUUUCACCAAUUGUGAACUUCAUAUUGUUAUUGAUUUUGUUAUAAACUUUACAGAACCAUUGUUGUGUUUAUGUUACUAUUGAGCAAGGUCUGCUGAACCAACCCGAACCGGCCGAUUCAACGUACACUGUACUAGUACCAGCCCCAACCGGUACGGUUCGGCUGUGAAAAACGAUUUGUGCCCUAUAGGGGCUGGAAACGGCCAAUUUUCGUUGUGUAUCGGUGCAAAUCGGGCCGGUUUCCUAUGUACGUCCAAUUCUCGCGCGCGGUUCCCCGCACUGAAAACCGCGCCCACGCGAGAGCACGCCAGCAUGGGGCGUGAGCGGGGAAUCGCACUCCCGCGUGGGCGCAAGCGAGGAAUCGCGCGCCAGCACGCGAUUCCUCGCGCAAGGAACCGGCCAUGGCGCGCAGUUCCCCAUGCCGGGCAGCCUGCGUGGGGCAUUUAAUGCCACUCUGUAGCAUUUAACGCGUCCACGCGCGUUGUUUUUUUUUUCGAGUCCGCAGAUUUCGCUAUUGGCUAGUUCGGUACUGGUUCCAGCCCACCGGUACGGCGGACCUUGCUAUGGAGUAUAUAAAAAUAACUAGUUUUAUGACAGAGAGCAUGCAACAAAGUCUGAAUAUUUACAUCAAAAGCAAAAACUCUAUCCUCAACACUUUUAGAAUUACAAUACCAUGUCUCUCACAAAGAAUUUUCCUCAAAUGCUUGUUUCAUUUUUUCAAAAUGUGUGUGCACACAUUUAUUUUAGACAUAUGAUGUAUACAAGGCAUACUUAUAGCAUGUUGGAAAAGAAAAAUCCAAAAUAUAAUAGCAAAGAAAUGGAGGGGAUAGAUGAAGAACUCAAGAUAUAGUACAAGUUGAAACAAACAAGGGGCAUGAAGAGACACUUGCCUAUUAGGUAUUUCUCCUGGAAGCUCCAUAAAAUGCACUGCACGAUCCGAGUAACUGGCAAAAACACUCUGCAUAAAGCUCCCAAUAUAAGGAAUAUUUUUUUACCAUGUAGAAACAGAUUUCAAAUGCAGCUUUUUGCUAAAUUUGUAAAAUUAGCACCAAACCAGGAGAAACUUUUGCAUCUACUUAUCAGGAUUCUAAGCAUUUAAUUCAUGCAUAAGGAGUUAAUUGAGGAACAAUUCUUACAUUAUUUGAAUAUCAAUAAUAACCUAAUGCUGAAUAACACUUUAAUUAAGAGGGUUUUUUGUAUUACUUUGUAAUCUUUUAAUUAAAAAAAUUACUUAUUAAUCACAAGAGAUAACUGAUAAAUUUGCUUGACUUUUCUCUUUCAUUUAUUUCCAAACUUUAAAGUCAUAAACACUUGAGAAAUUUGAGUAGGGUAGUUGUAGGUGCAACUAACUGAAUAUCCCUAGAGCUAUAAAAAAAUAGAUUUUGGUAAAUCAUUAAUUUCAUAACUACCUAAGUUACAGAGUUAGCAUGAUUGUUAUUACAACUUUCAGAACCCUUCUGAAGUUAAACAUAAGGUCAGAUGGUUGGGUUACCUCCUCAAGAGUGGUUUAUCGGAACUUUGUACAGUGAGCCAUGUGAAUGUUUCAAUCUGAAAUUUAGACUUUGUUUGGCUUACAAGUUUUGUUUAGAAUCAAGAAAUUACAUUAUCAUGAACCUGCAUCGCAAAUCAAAAUGGAUCGAAAAGGUUUAACGUUAUAAUAGUCUCCAUCAAGAAGUAUUUGAGAGCCAAUGGCGGAUGAGGUAAUUGGACGACCUUCAGACGAUCUCCAGGACAAGAUCUAUCCUACAAAAGCAUCCAAAUGUUCAAUACAACUUAAAUUAAUUUCAGAUUUAUAACUAGAUAUUUUAAGUCAUGAAGUUUUAACUUCAUUUUUUUGUUAACAUUUAGUCCUAGGCAGGCAAAUAUUUUAUUAUAGGGUAGCUACUACUAUUUCCUCACCUAGGUAUCUUUAUUAACUCUUCUAGAAGGUUAGAUGAUUUAAAACCUUAAAUUUCAAGUAUGUAAAUAGUCAAUAGAGCAUAUUUUAAGUAUAUGCUGGAUGAUGGAAUUAAAUACCAGUGGAACAAGAAGGUAACCAUGGUCACCAUAUUGGGAAACCCCCCUCCCACCUCUGGGCUAAGCUGGUGAAGGCAAGGACCACACUGAGAGAAAGAGAGAGAGAGGCAGAGAGAGAUGACUUCUAGGGAGCAGAGGCAGCAACUAACGGAGAGGGAGGACUCCCUCUCCACUUCACAUGCCUGAAAUUAGCGUCGAAUUUUGUAUAAGCGAGACAUGUGGUUUAUUGGGCCCAAAUAACCAUUUCACCCCUACAAUCCACCUUAAAACCAGUUGAAAGGUGAAUUGGGAUGCACCAUAUCCCGAGCAUCAAGACACAAGACAAUACACAGGGCGUACCAUUCUUCAGGAAAACAGGUACACCCCCAUACUGUGAUUUUUAAUCUUGAGCUGGACUACCUAUAAAAAGGGUAGAGUUGAUUUAAAAGUGUAGCUUUCCACACUAGUUUCCAUAAAAAAAUGUUAUUUUUAUAUACUUCGAUUAGCUGUUUUUCCCUGGGAAAGAAUUUUAAGGCGUCUUGAUUAAGAGGUGGUUAAUUGUAGAAGGCCAUUGAGCAGCAGAAUAUAUCAUGCGCUAGUUUCUUGAUUAUUUUUCUUCCUCUCUAUCACCUUUUUCCAUCUUAUCACUCUUUGGGCUUAAGGAAUCACACCAGUCAUAUAUAUGAUUGCCUUAGGAGUAGGAUUUGUUUCCUCCCCCACUUUCUUGAUUCAUCAUUUCAUCUGCACAUCUGCAUAUACUACAGAUCUGCCAAUCUUGUAGAACAGAUAUUUCAGAUCACUUGUACAUCAGAACUUUUUGCAAUUUGUGUUACAAAAGAUUCUAGUACCAGUUAAGCCAUCUCGAGUCAAUGUUUCAUUAAGUGAUUGUGGCAAGUAAAUCAUGAACUGUAGCAUUCUAGAUAAAUUAAGGCAGUGCAACUUGACUGUUUCCUUUCUAUAAAAUGUGCAGGCCCAUGGAUCUUUCAAGUUUCUAAUACCAUUGGUAUCUUUAAGAAAACAUUUCUACACACCACUUCAGAGCAAAAAAGAUAGCUUUCUAGAACCAUGAAAUGCCUCUUAAGCUGUGGUUAUCUAAAAUGCAGCCAACUUACCACUAAUGUCUUACUUCAGUAAUAAUUAUGGGCUCCCACCAAUAAUCAAUUUUCUCAGAACAUUUUGUUUACCACUUCAGAACAAAUCCCUCAUUCCCUUUGCCUACUUACAGUGGCUCGGCUUGCCUUGACUAACCAGCUGCAACGAAUGACCACCUAAAUAAUAGAAGCUGCUGAGUACUCAAAUCAUCCAAAUUGUGCAAGCAAACCCAUAAAUAGGCAAGCACAUAUAAGGAAGAAAAAUAUGGCCAAAUAACAAGAACUCUGCUAGCAAAUAUGAAGCCCAGGUUCCAAAUCCGAAGUUGCUUAUAUGACUGUGAUUGAUAUCGGAUAAUAAUUAAAAGAGAGGAAAUUAUGAGAAAAGAUGAGAAUAGUCAAGCUCAUAUAUGGAACCUUCUGUUUGUUCAUAUAUUAGAUUCUCCUAUUUCACAAGCGGCUCGGUUGCAUUAGUCCACACCUUUUAGAACCUUGGGACAUUCACAUGUAGUCCAAACUGACUAUUCUGGGUGCCAAAACUAACAAUACCUACAAUGGCACAGAAUUCUUUUAAAUUGUUCUAGAAAAAUUGUGAUUCAAAUCAAAACAAAAUGUCCAAGAAUCUUGUGCAUUCUUAUACUGUUUUGCUACAAUUAAACCUCUAGAUGGCCAAAGCAUAUCUAAGAAAAAUUAAGCAUACUAAAUGCAUGAAAUAUAGCUCUGCCUCAAAGAUUGCCUUGAUAUGAAGGUUCCAUAUUGAUCUACAUUUAACAUUCAUAAUAUUUAUGCAAAAAAUAUUUAAUGUUCAUAAGAUUUUAAAUCUAGCCACAAGAAAUGUACACCAUAAACAAUAGUUGCAAAAGAAAAAAAAUACAUUGCUUACCUCCAAAGAACCAAUGCCAGUGAAGGAGUAUAAUCGAGUCGGCGUAACAGCCAUCACAUAAUACCUCGUAGCAUUACCUACUAUAGCUGUUUCCAUCUGCACAAGAAGAACAGAGUAAGCAUGGCAUGACUGACUUAAACCCAUCAGAACUUGUGGGCGAUGAGAUGAGAAUCGAUAAAAAUUUUAAAGAACCUGCAAGCCCAUGAUGGCCUCUGGGAGCUCGGUCAGCUCAAACAGCAACUUCACAUACUUCUCCUUCUUGUCCGCCUCAUCAACUGCCAUCUCGUAAAUCUGCCCGUUCUCCGUUCCCAGAAUCACUUCCUUCGUUGAAGCUGAAUUCAUAAUCAUCAAUCAAGACACCCUGAUUCAGACCAAAAAGAAGAGAUUCUUGAUCUUGAAAGCCCAUAAGGAACCGACAUAGGAGUCACCUUCAGUGAUCUGCUGCCGAUUCCAGGCCACGGCAUUCACAACGAGGCCCUUCAGCCGGCUCAAAACAAUCCGGGUCAAAACCCUAGAUCGCGCCCACUUCGCGUGCGUGUAGUACGUCUCGGCGCCGCCAGGGUGGAGAAUGGCGGCGAGGCAGUGGCUCCCGCCGGGGUCCACGAAGACCCGGUGCACCGGGUGGUCGCCGGCCCGGCCGCCGGAGAAGUCGAGAUCUGCGAUCAAAUGGAGAGAAAGAGGAGGAUGAGAGACACCUAAGGAGGGGGUCCGAGGAGGGAAAGGAAGGGGGAUUCGACGAACCAACGGAGUCUCCGACGCCGAAGUCGUUGCGGAUGAUCCAGCCUUUGCUGGUGCCGAGGAGGGUGACGUCGUUGCCUGCGGCCAUGGAGGUGAUGACGCCGUGGCCCUUGGAGGCGUCCCACUGGAACGGUUCGACGGCGAAGAGGUGGCCGCCGGCGGCGGCGUCCAUGGCGACGGGAUCGGAUGCGAGGUGCCUGCGAAACCCCAGGGGAAGAAGCGCGGGUUUGGAGAGGACGGAGGGCGGGCGAGGGAGGUUGACGGUUACGGAAGGGGACCGGCGGGCGUUCUUGAGCAAUCUUGGAGCCGUAAGUCCGACGCUGAGGAACAAAACAUUUGGGCGAGGCCGAAAUGUUUAAAAUUCCGACCCCACAGAUUCAGGGGGAGUUCCGGAGGAGUUCGGAUUUUUAUCAUCACCGUUCGUUUCUCUGAAUUACUCUCUAUCGCUCAUGCAAGUGUGAUACACAUGAUCUUGGAGAGGGUUAAAAAUAUUUAAAAAAUGUGUAUAAUGGAUCAAUUGAAAAAAUAAAAUAUUGAAUUAAUAUGAUAACGAAUUUUAAUUAUUAAUUUUUUUUAUUUAUUAUAAUUUAUUAUAUUGCUCUAUUACAAAAUAGCAGAAAAAAAUACUUUGUAUUAAAACAGAAAAAAAUAUGUGAUUAUCCCCAUUAAACUAUUUAUUUAAUUAUAUUAAAGAUAUUUAGACUUUACUCAAAAUGGCUAGUAAAAAGAUAUUAUUUGAGUUCUUCAUUCUAUAUGAGUAUCUAAAAUUUAGUUAACAAAUAAUCAAUAUGGGGCUAAACAUAUGGCCGCAUGGGUUCUCCAAUGUCUGCUUGGACCGAUGGAAAUCAUUGUUGGCUCAUCAAAAGUUGCGGAUUUUAAAAAGAGUUUAACAAAGAAAAUUGGGUCAUCAUCAGCUCGGAAAGAAGAUUGAUGAAUCUCUAAUAAGUGCAAGGUUCUACCAGAGAGGAGUUCAGCCUUGGGCCAUUGGAAAUCCAUGAGAACAAUUGGCCUCGGCCUCUCAAAUUAGUGUCGAGCCACAACAAAUCUUUCGGAAGCUUGAAGGCAUUCAAAAAGAGGAGGUAAGGAGUUUGAAUCCCAAAUCUCGACCAUCAAUUGCUGCUAAAGCCUUAGCGCCAAGAAAGGGAGCUAUGGCAGCCAUUAAAACAAAAAAAAGCUGCAGAGUCUCUAGCGAAUGCUAGGCUCUAGAGCAGCAUCGGCAGAACCGGUACCAAUACUGUACCUGUUGUCUGACGGGACGAGUUGGCACCGGUCUGCACCAAGCCAUACUGGGCCAUACCGAUACAGUAGAAGAGACGGAAGAGAGGGAGAACGAGAGAGCAAAAGAGAGGGAAAGCAGAGAGAGAAGGGGGGAGGCUUGCGGCGGGGUAGCAACGGAGGGCGCAGCCGGACCCCUGUUUUGAAAGAAACAGGGGACUGCUUCCUACCCCGGCAACAGCCCUCUGUCGGCCUCUCCCCCUCUCUUCCUCCUCCGCUCGCUCUCUCUUUUCCUCUUUUUUCUUCUCCUUUUCUGACUUCGGCAACAAUUUUUGUUUCCAUUGCCGGAAGAGCUUGGAACUGCUGGAGCCGCUCACUUAUCAAUUACAUGUAUCUUUUUAACGAUGACUAGGUUACUUUUCCUCCAUAACAAGAACAAGAACAUUCUAAGAUGGUAUUGUAAGAGCAAGAUGCAUGGUUGAGAGACCUNACAUUUAGAGUACAUUUCUACGCUGUCUAUCUGGAGAUUAAUAGCAUAUUCAUGCAUGAAACAUGAUGUUUCUGUUGGCCUUAGGAUCAACAAUUGAGGCCUAGUGUUGCAGACUUUAUACCCACUCUAAUUGCACCUAAUGUUGCAAACUGUAUACCAAGAAUGGAGUGUCCACAGAAUAUUGAUGCAAGAUGGAUGGGGCGGAUGUAGGAAAAGUCGAGCACCUUAUCUUUUUAAUUUAAUUUCAAGACAUGCAUCAUGAUAACUUCUCAAGAUAUUAUCAACACGCAUCACAAUAGGGCAUCCCAAAAUAUUACUGAUACCCAUCUUUUAGCCACCUUAAAUGACCAAGAGUCAUGCAAAUAUCAAGCAGGUCUUCUACUGAAGCAAAUUUCCCAUGUUCUAGAUCUGAUCGCACUAUUCCAACAUACCUGAAUUCAUGAUGACAUGGUGUUCGUAUUAUAAAUACUUCAAUUUUCAAUUUUUCCAGAAAAAUGAAACUACUUGCAUCACAUUAUAAUGGCUAACAGUCAAUUAUGUUCUGACUUCUGAAGCAUAUGCAACAGUAUGCUAAUAUAUUUUCCUGUCUGGCUUCUGAAAUUGGAUGACCAAGCCACUGGUCCUAAUAAAAGUAUCCAUAAUACACAAAAAGGGAAUAUGUCAACAAUGUACAGCAAGAGAUUGCGCACGAAAACUUAUCAAGAAUGGGUAGUCUCAGAGUAAAUAAUGUAACAGGAAAAAUGAAAGAGGAUACAAUCCUCAAACAACACUUCGUUUUUUAUUCUGACAUACAACAAGAAUAGCUAUACUCAAAAUUGCCAACAAGAGCUUGCUUGUGGUCUCAAGAAAUUGAAAAGCAAUUUAGAUGAAUUCAGGAUCUGAUUUUUGUGUAGUUUGCGGAAUCUUUAGCCAAAGCUUUCUUUACAAGUUUUGGCCUUUCUUGCCAAAUUAUAUGCAACUCGAGUCCCUCCCGAAAAUGAAUCGCCUCAUCCAAUCAGAAAUUACCAAUGCCCUUGUGCGCCAACUGACUUGCUUGCUGGAUUUGAAAAGAAGCAGCAAGAAUAAGGACCAGAUUAUAAUUAAAAACACAGUUUAGGCCAUAAUCAAAAUCUCAAGGAAAAUGAGUAGUAAAAUCAAUACAUUAAAGUUUUCAAGUAUCACAGACAUAUUAAUUAAAAGAAAACAAAGCAUGUACCUUGCAUACACAGAAUACCAGAGCCACUGGCUACUGUGGCCUAUAGAGAUCCAAUCUCCUGGCAGUUGUGCAGCCGUUUGUUCUCCACCCAAUGGGGCAAAUUGCCCAAAAUGCCUAUACCUUGGAUUACAAACAGAUCAUAAGAAUGUAUCACACAGAAAAGGAAAGAUAUAGGUAGUUUUGUAGCAUGACAAAGGAGAAAAUGCAGCAGUUUUACAUUAAAAGAAAAACAACAGCAUAUGCCUUUCACAGACUCCUACAUAUACAUGCAUAGUAUGACAGGCUUCUGUCUCUCUCUCUCUCUCUCUUUAUUUUUCUCUCUGACUCCAAUAAAACUAAAUAAAGCACUUGGAAACUUGAGAAGGAAGUCUUCAAGAUUUCCUUGUUUCUUUUCCAGUUUCUAAAUAAAAUCCCAAAUGUGGUAGAAAUACUUACAGCUUGCAAGAUUCCUUGAACUCCUAGGAUUUUUCACAUCUAUAUUUUACAUUGUGUUACAACUCCAUUAGAUUUAAAAUGUAAAUGCUAGAGAACAAUGAGGGAACAUAGAACAAAGUCGUUUCUUUUACAAUUUUUUUUAUAGAUGCUAUUAGAUCAUAGUUUAUUUUUUUUCUGAGCAUUUGGAUAACAGGUAACUACAAUUUUAUUUAUGUUGCUUAGGGCAGGUUUCUUGGAUAGGCAGAACAAGGAACUUAAGUGGCUCCUGUCACGUUGAUGAGGAGGUAGAACAUCCCACUGUUUGUUAUAGCCUCAACCACAAAAGCGAAGAGAGUGUCACAUGUUGCUAGCAAUCUGGGGCAUCGAUGGAGGUCCAUCUGACUCUCAUGAUGAAUACCCCAAUGUAUUUUUCGGUGUCACCCAGUGAGAGAAGUUAAUCUUUAUAUAAGGAUGCAAGACAAGAGUCCAACAGGAGAGAUAAGGAUAAAAAUAGAUGAGCAUUAACAUAACACACUCGGCAAGGGCAAGGAAUGGAUAUCAGUAAGCACACCCAAAAAAGAUGAGGUUAGGAUCAUUAUCCCCAGACAGGACAAUCAUAAAAGCACAGUUGAUCAAUCCAUUAGUUCUUUGAUGUUGGCUACUAAACCAGUAAACAACCUUGUAAACAUCCACAGGGAACAGGGCGUAAGCCACCUAUUGAGGCCAGACACCUAGGAAAAAUGGCCCUUCAUUCUUAAAUGCAAUUACUUAGGCUCUAAUCCUAUUUGAUAUACGUUAUCCAUGAGAAUUGUUCAGUAAUUAGCAAUUUUGUGAACUAAAACCUAAAAUUUGCAAUGUUUAUUAUUAACUUUCUGGCUUAACCCAUCUGCGACAAAUCCACCGUUCUGGUUGGUUAGUCCAGCAGCAAUUAGUCUGGGAGCCAGUGUCAGCCAUUCUGCAACUUCUCAAUUGCGCCGGUAGAUAUCAAGAAACCUAUAAUUUGGCUAGCUACUAACUAGAUUUAGCCUGAAAACUCGUAAAUCACAAACUGGGGUAUCUGAGGACAGGAGACAACUAUCACAUAUAGUGGCCUGACAGCCUAUUAUACAGCAGCAACCUACAGCUAUAUUUAGUUCAGUAAAACAAUCACAAUGAUAGUUUAGCAAAGUCCACAUGCUGACCAUAUGCAGGUUGGCCAUCAUUCAAACAUGAGCCAAAGCUCUAUGCAAUCAAAGUAGUACACAUUAAAGAAGAAAAAAGUGCAGGAUUUUGUUAUUUCCAAACAUCUUGCAUAAUAUGUUUUUCCAUUAUUCAAUCGGAGAAUUGGUAGUUGAGGUCCACUGUGAUGACACAAGGAUGUUUUGAGAAGAAAGAAAAAGAAAGAAAUUGCUUCUGCAGAAGUUCACAUGAUAUGAACCAGAUGGUAAGCCCUAAUUAUUAUUGUCUUUUGAAAUUACGAGGUGAAGAACUUAGAUUGCAAGCCUUAUUCCACAGAGAUGGGCAAGUCAUAUUAGCAACAUUAAAGUUCAGGAACUCCCAAUGACUUGAGAGGAUUGAGCAAUAGAAUAUCCAACCAAAGAACCUAAAGACCAGAUGGGAGGAACAAAUGCCUUUUUGAUCAUGUGCUUUAACAUCAUGAUACUAGAAAAGUAGAAAGUAACCUUUAAAAAAUCCAUUUGACUUGGUAAGAGUUUACAGAAAAAGGUAAGUAGGCAAGGCUUGACAUAGGGAAUCACAUUCAUAUCUGAAGUAUAUAAACAAGGGAUCAAAACGAAAAAGUACCAUUACUGAAAUCAAAAGGUAAAGGAAAAAAAAAGAAAAUGGCAAGCUUCAAUUUGUACUAAUUAAACUAAAAAUAAGUAGUUAAUAAUAUUCAUACUUGGGCACAAAACAGAAGGAAAAGAUGCAAGCUGAUAGAAAAUCCCAUGAUCGAAACUAGUAUAGCCAACUGCAGAAAGUACAAAAGACCAAAAGCAAGUAUAACGGAGAGAGGGUAUAUUUAGUAUUGGGAUAGUGCUAAUUUUGGGGGGAAAAGGGCUCAAAAUUACCAAGUUGCAAGCCAUGAGGAAGGAUUUGAGGAAGCUAAGAUAACCAAGAUGGUUAAUGUGUCCUCAGUAUCUAGGUCUGGGAUAAAACAUUUAAAAAUCAAGUUGAGACAAAGAGGAAGGAAGAGGACUUUCUCAAUUUAAUUUCUAAAUCAAUGGAUGAAUGCAAUUCAUUCUUCAAUGAAUACUAAAUUUGGUUUUGUUUCCAACAGAACCCCCACCCCUCCACCAAAAAAGGAAUCCAGCUGUCAUUAUGAGCAUUCUUUGUAAGCCUCUCGAAAAUGUCAAUCUUGAGGGGCAUGGUAGAAAUGUCAGCUUUGCCUUUCCUCCGCCUCAUGGAAUUUACAACACUUCUAUAUACGACAAUCUCCAUUCCAUUUUCGUUGACUUGAAGGGAUUCUCAAAAGAUAUUUGUUUGCUCGAACAAUGAUUUCACUUAAAAUGCACUUUAUUCUUCUUCAUAUAUAUGCUUAAUGUCUUAGUGCCUGCUUCUCUUGUUCAGAGGGGAAAAAAGAAGUUUCCAUGCGUACCUAAUAUUUAUCCUCAAAGAAUUUGAGUUUUCAAAUUGUCAAUCAUUUUAAAUAUUAAUCUUAGAAAUCUAAAUCAUAAUUUCAAAAAUUGUUGCCUUUUCAAUUUGCUUAUCAUAUUUGCCCUUAUAACUUUCACUAAAAUUUCUAAUCUUGAUUUACCAUCCUUUGCCUCUGCGAUUUUUUCACCUUGUGCAUUUUUUAUUUCUUCUAACUUUUCAAUUUUCUCCUAUAAUUAAAUAACCCUUCCCUUCAUUUUCCUGCUUCCCAUCCCUUUCAUCAAACUCCGCAUCCUUUCAGUCUGCAAUUCCGCAUCCUUUCAUCAAACUCUGCAUUCAAAGUCAUCUCCUUCAAUUUCACCAUCUUUGAUAUUUUCUUCCAAGAAUUCAUCAGCAUCCAAGAUUUCCAACUGAAAAUUUUACAGUGAUGUUUCACUCUCGUGACAAGAAAAGACUAACUAAAUCUUUUCCUGCAAUUGGUUUGGUGAUUCACAAAGUUAUUUAGUGUUUUCUCUUCCUUUCUUCCUUGAAUUUUCCUUGGCAUGCAACUUUCUAGCUUCCAUGCAACAUCCCAUAAUUUACAAUCUAGAAUAUGCGAGUUUGAUCGCUCCAAUGUAAAUCAUUCGAACCAAUUUAAACACUAGUGUCACAUGGCUUGCUAGCCAAUGGCUAGCAUGACAUGUAACAUGAUAUGUAGGCAUUGACCUGUUUUGUGCUGAGAAAAAAAAGGAUCAAGAGAAAGGAUGGACACCUUUUUAAUUAAAUAUAUUAAAUGAAGUUUCACUAGGUGCCAUGUUGACCCCUGCCAGGUGCUAGUACUUGCCUAGCAAAAGCUAGCACUUGAAAGCAAGGUUAGAAUAUCCUGAUUUUCUUAACAGAAUUACUAUUUCUCCAUUCUCUUUUCAAAUUGGCUCAUAAUUGACAAUCAUUGUUUUCUUUAUCUAUUUUAUUCACCCCAAAACUUGGCAAUGGUGUUGCCUUUGCUUCUCCAAGUCAAUUUCACUUUCUCCUUUGCCGGAAACCCGGUACUUAAAGCCUUCAUAAUCUUUGAACAGAUCUCUUUAUUACUGUCAAUCUUGUAAGAUCAUCACAACUCUGUUACCGCCUCUAUAUUAUCAACAACCUCGAUGGGUCGUGGUAGCUCUGAUACCAAUUCGUUAGAGAGAGAGAAGGAGAGAGGGGGAGAAAGAGAGAGAGAGAAAUGGAGUUUAAGUUAAAGGUAAGGGGAGAGGAUGAUUGGAGAAUAAAGUAUUAUAGUAUAUCUUCAUUUUACUCCUUGGUGUAAAAUGGUUCUCUAUUAGGGUCUUCAUGGUUACAUAGUUACCAUUCAUAAACUUUAUACCUUUCAUCAAUUCAUUAGAACUUCCAAAAAAACAAGUGAUGAAUACUUACACCAAUAGAAGCACCAAAUACAUGCUUUCUCUUCCAUUUAUAACUAAAUUAUUGCAGGCAUCUAAUGCAAACCAUCUUGCACCGCCCAAUUAAACUAUUCUUUUGCACACUACUAUAAGUGCCAUCUGGAAGUCAUAAUUUAACCAUUGCCUGGUCCAUUGCGUACAGUCUUUCAUGGUACUAUGAUAAUUAGAGUAGGUGACAUCGAAUGAACAAACUAGAGGUCUAAGAUCCAUCAAAGAAUAAUAAUUAAAUUUUUAUAACCAAAGUGUGACCAUCCAAUGCACGCUUUUAAUAUUUAUAAAGUUGCAAACAGACAUAGGGUCAGUAAGACAAAAACAGGAAAACAAUUGUAUAAGAUCAUACAUCUGCCAUCCAUACUGAUUGAAGUUCAUGAAGCAACCUAAAAAAGAUAAAAAAGAAAAACACAAGAGAGAGAGAGAGAGAACCAUGAACUAGAAUAGAUACCUGAAGGGACGAAAGCGAUGACGGCCUGAUUCUCUCAUGCGCAGUGGACCUUCAGGAUUCUCAUCAGCGUCCUUCAUUUUGUUAAAACAUUGAGCAAGAUAAUUACCUUGUUGUGCAGCAACCUGGUACAUUUUAAUGAAGAGCAUUAAGGAUGAUGUCAGCCAGCAUACAAAAAUUGGAUAAAUUAUAAAACUUUCAUUCCUUAGUUAUGUCAGAUUUAUAUAAAUCAAUUACUCAAACUCUAGAUUAUAAAAGAUUACCUGAGCUGUUGCUGGAAGAUUUUUGACCUGUGAAUCUACAUUUGCAAGAGCUUUUUUGAACUCUUCUAUGUCCAGCUCUACAGAUUCCUUCUGAACAUCACCUCUGGAAUCCUUAAUUAAAUCAACUAUGUCACUCAUUUGCUUGCUUUUCAAGUAGAGUUCCACCUGAGGGUACCUUAUGCAAAUAUCAUCUAAAACAUCUUGGAUUUCUUUUACAGUUAAAGUUCCAGAAUGGUUUUUGUCUGCAACCUUAAAGAUUGAUGAUAUAUCUUCCUGAAAGCACAAAGCCAUGAAGCAUAUUAAUAAACCACACUGGUCAAAUUGCAAUUUUAGUUGACUGCUAAUUGAUACUCUCAUCAUGAUGUCUAGUUAAAUGAAACAUGUGAAACCUGCAUGAAGUCUCAUUGUUAGUUCUCAGAGCAGUUGUACAUGAUCACUUGCUACGAGUACCUGUUUGAUAUUCUCACUAGCUGAGAAUGGAGAGCUACUCAUAGGUUUCAUGAAGUUAUUCUGCAGAUUAAAACUGAACAGGAUAAACUAGUUUAAACCUUAAACUGCGAAAUAGCAGCUUGACAAUUUAAGUUUUAAGCCAUCAGCAAUGGAUGCUCAAGUUGACAAUCAGAAUGGCAAUCAAGACCAAACUUAUCCUUAAUUUACAUUAGCCAUCGCAUAUUGUCAUCCUUUAGCUCUUUCAGUGCCACAAUUUUUUGUCCAUUUAAUGAAUGGGUAAGGAACCUACGAGGCAACUGAUAUUGUAAGGCAGUUUACACUUUACAUUGUAGGUCAAAAUUAAUGUUAUUUGAACAAAUAGGACAAGAUUCUAAAUCGACAAUCUACAUAACUAUGUAUUUAUCUAUGUAAACAUGUAACAUUCCAGGGUACUAAUCCACUUCAUGUACUAUGUCCCUCUAACUAAUAGUCAGCACCUUUAGUGAAACAAGACAUAAGAUCAAUAAGCAAAGUUUCACAUACCAUGACUUUUCGCUGACCUAUGGUGGCACAAUCACCAAGAGCAUAUACACCAUCGCAUUCAGAGACUCUCAGCCACUCAUCAGUUGCUAAUACACGCCUGUUAACCUGUGCAUUUGGGAAAGAAUUAAAUAUAAAUUAAAAGAUCUACAAAUUUACAGAAAUCAUAUUUUAGAAAAUGGUGACCAUAAGCUAGAAUCAAUUAACCUGAUCAAUUUGUUUCAUAAAAUCCAUUAUGACAGGGCGUGUUCCAAUACCAGUAGACCAGACAGCCAUUCCAUAUGGUACAGACAUUUUUCCAGUCGAUGCAUUUGUCAUUGUGAUGUUGUUAUCCGACACCUCCACAACCUUAAAUCCUGUUUUCACUUCGAUGCCUUCUCUUUGGAACUUCUCCACAGCAAAUUUAGUGACCCUUCUGUCAAACCUGCAUGAUACAACCAUAAUGCACAUACAACUUACAGAAGGUAGGACAGGGAAGAAAAGGAGAGUUACAUAGAAGAGGCAAUUUGCAAAUAAAUAACAUGAAGAUGAAAGAUAAUAAAUUUCGAUAAAUCUAUUUUUGGUUGUAUUUGGAGCAAUGUCUGCCAAACCGGUACCGGUAAACGUAUCGGUGGCCUACCGGACCGGUUCGGUACCAGUUUGGGCCAUACCGAACCGGUACCACUGGUUCAGACGGAUUUCGGCUACUGCACGGGUCAAAAAGGCCACGGCUCACGGCGCUAUGGCAAACUGCAGGCGUAUCGGUGAAAAUUGGUCCAGUUCGCACUGGUACAAGGCGGUACCGUGCUUGUACUGAUGGAAACCGGUUCGGUUCAUACUAGUAAGCCCUCCGUACCGCUCGAUUCCGGCCCCCACCACGGUACCGGACCGAUCAAAGACCAGACCAAUCCAGUACGUGCUGAACCGGCCGGUACGGGCCGGUUCUAUAACAACCUAGGACCUCACCCAAAAUGGCUAGCCGGAAGAUAUUGUUUGGGNNNNNNNNNNNNNNNNNNNNNNNNNNNNNNNNNNNNNNNNNNNNNNNNNNNNNNNNNNNNNNNNNNNNNNNNNNNNNNNNNNNNNNNNNNNNNNNNNNNNNNNNNNNNNNNNNNNNNNNNNNNNNNNNNNNNNNNNNNNNNNNNNNNNNNNNNNNNNNNNNNNNNNNNNNNNNNNNNNNNNNNNNNNNNNNNNNNNNNNNNNNNNNNNNNNNNNNNNNNNNNNNNNNNNNNNNNNNNNNNNNNNNNNNNNNNNNNNNNNNNNNNNNNNNNNNNNNNNNNNNNNNNNNNNNNNNNNNNNNNNNNNNNNNNNNNNNNNNNNNNNNNNNNNNNNNNNNNNNNNNNNNNNNNNNNNNNNNNNNNNNNNNNNNNNNNNNNNNNNNNNNNNNNNNNNNNNNNNNNNNNNNNNNNNNNNNNNNNNNNNNNNNNNNNNNNNNNNNNNNNNNNNNNNNNNNNNNNNNNNNNNNNNNNNNNNNNNNNNNNNNNNNNNNNNNNNNNNNNNNNNNNNNNNNNNNNNNNNNNNNNNNNNNNNNNNNNNNNNNNNNNNNNNNNNNNNNNNNNNNNNNNNNNNNNNNNNNNNNNNNNNNNNNNNNNNNNNNNNNNNNNNNNNNNNNNNNNNNNNNNNNNNNNNNNNNNNNNNNNNNNNNNNNNNNNNNNNNNNNNNNNNNNNNNNNNUAAAUAGAGUAUCUUAAGAAAUGAAAAAAUAUUAGCAAAAAGGAAAAACAUAAGCUAACAAGGAGAGAAGAACUUGAAUCUGGAAAAUUCUACUCAAAAGAUUUGCAAUUGGUUUUAGAGCUUCGAUGAAAUUUAAUUGUCAACCAAGCACCAGGUAUUAUCAAAUCAGAAAUUGUAAAUUUUGCUCAUAAAUUGCCAUGCUUGGAAAAGCGUCCAAAGACACCUUUUGUAUGGCACAGAAUUGGAUUUAGAAUCAACUAGAAUAAUAACUGUUGUAUAGCUUGUAUAAUAUGUCUUUACUUGCCACAAGCCUUUGGUAGGUGUCUAGAUGCUAGCUAACAUGAAUGUUGAUAACAUCAGAACCUGAUAAGGUUGAACAUGGUGAAUUAUGUACAAAACCACAAAUAGUGUGAUGAAGGAGUUCUGAUUUCGCACUAUUCAAUUUCAAACUCACAAAUAUAGACAAAUCAGGGAAAUAAAUGAGAACCAAGAAAAAAUCAAAUGCUGCCUUACAUGGUCAAGAUAUGCUCUCCAGCUUCGAUAACUGAUAUCUUCACCAGGUCUCGAACAGUAGGAUAUAACUUACGCAAAUCUUCGGAGACAAAAUCAUGUAACUCUGCAGCAAAUUCAACACCAGUUGGACCACCACCAACAAUAACAAAAUGAAGAAUCCUCUUCCUCUCUUCUUCAUCAAGGUUUGGAAGACUGGCCCUCUCAAAACAGUUCAUCACACUCCUACGAAUUUUCUGAGCGUCCUCUAUUUCCUGCACAUAGCUACUAUUGGUCAGACGAACCUCACAAGAAGCGUGCAAUCAUGCAAUCAACAAAUAUAACAAUCAACUUUUUUAAAAGCAUCAUUUGAAAGAAUAUUGAAAAUGGAUGCUGAAAACUAGCAAGAAUCUGUCAAAAAGUUACGCAACUACUGAAGGGCAUACAUGUGGUGAGAAAGUUUACACGAAACCUCAUGUAUCAGGAUCAUACAGCAAUAAGACUCUGCUGCAUGAAUCUGGUAGUGUGGUGAAAACAGCCAGACUUGUACCUCAAGCAAAUAAGAUUAAAAAUUUGCAUCUGCUGUAAUUAUGAUAAAAAUACCUAACAUGCAUGCUGUCUUGACAAGUAAACUGCACUGACAUUAGGACUUCUAUCACGAUGAAAGUAAAUGUACCUUCAGAAAGUGACAAUGUUCGACCACACCAGGUGUGUUAAAUGUAUUUGCUCUGGCUCCAAUUGAUAUCACCAGAUAGUCAUAAUCGAGAAGAAAUUCACCAUUUCCAUCCAAAUUUGUGCCAAUAUUAGAUCGACAAUGGACUUUUUUGUUUGUUGGAUCAAUUUUGAAACACUCAGCUUCCCAAAAUUUUAUUUCUCCUCCUUUCUGCAAACGCAAUAAUUGGAGAACAGGGUGAGUGCUACUUCACUGACAGGACCAAAUUAUUUAUUGAGCAAUACAUCAAACACA